This 58784-nucleotide long non-coding RNA is filed under the name Eucalyptus grandis. RNAcentral's name for it is "long non-coding RNA (EGRA_LNC001591)". The record is from RNAcentral. Lineage: Eukaryota; Viridiplantae; Streptophyta; Magnoliopsida; Myrtales; Myrtaceae.
UGUCAGAUUCCAAUAUUCCCAGCCUACCAGGGAGCAUCUCUAGUCUUUCCCAUCUUCAAAACCUUGAUUUAUAUGGCUGUGACAAUCUUCAUGAGGUUCCUCUGCUUCCCACUAGUUUAGCCACUUUGCGUCUCACUUAUGACUCAAGUAAAUUGAAGUCUUUGGAUAUUUCAAAUCUGACCAAUCUCAAAGAGUUGUACCUUGCCAAUAAUAUGGAGGAGGAGGCAUCUCCCGGCACAGACGGAUAUUUGAUGGUGGAGCCAAUCAGCCUUUUGGGGAUUGGCAAAGUGACAAAAGUUGAGACCUUGAAAUUGUGCCUCCCAGGCUUCACUAAACUACCGGAAAUGGAUGCUCUCAAGCAGCUAAGGAAGCUUGAUCUUCAAUGUCCAGACCUACAACAUCUCCCACGACUACCCAAAAGUUUGAAAAAACUAACCCUCCGGGACUGCAAAUCCUUAAAGACAUUGCCGGAGCUUAAGUAUCUCAUGUCUCUAUCUGGAUUGGAGCUUCUGUUAUGUUCUGUAAUGGAAAUCGAAGGACUUCAACAUCUCUCAUCCUUGGUAGCCUUGCUUAUUUCUCACUGUGAGCUGGUAAAGCUAGACGGCCUCGAAUGCUUGACAUCCCUGAGAACAUUGACCAUCUCAUACUGUGAUUCCCUUCAAGGACUGCCAGAUUUGUCGAACUUGAAGAAGCUGAGAACGUGUCAUAUCCAACAUUGCAAGAACAUAACUCAAAAGGACAGCCUCUAGUAGUCGAGCUCCCUAGAAAGGCCAGAUAUUUGCGAAGGUCGUGGUACGCCUCUGGUCUAAAUGAGGACUUGAAAGAAAUCCAUUUCAUGCUUCCUCGAGCAAGUCUGAAGUUUCUGAGGCCAAUGUUCAUUCUAAAGGUCAUGCGUCUUUUCAAUUUAAUGAUGAUCCAUAAGUUUCACUUGCAUCGUUGGACUUCCUUGUAACUGGAAUGCCUUCUUCUCCGAUAUUUCCAUUUUUCUAUUCACUUCUUUAGAGAAUGCAAUAUUUUUCCUUUAUGAAGUUAUUCUCAACAAUGCCCAGCAAUUGCUUGGUAUACCACUUAACACUUCGACUUCGUUGUACCGUUUUCACAAAUAUGUGAAUGAGUGCAUGAAUCAGCAUUUCUGAAUUCCCUAAUCAUUCGGGUCAUUGCUAUUCUUAAUUUCUUCCAUCUAACUGACUGAUUAUCCUUAGUAAGAUGAUAUGCCCAUUUAUUCAAUAUACAUGGAGUAUUCGCUAGCGGGAGUAUUGUAAUGGAAGAAAUAACCGGAUGUGAUCUCUGUUCAUUUCUUUUGCCCAUCAAUGAUGUAUAGAAUAGUCAUAUCCGAAUGCGAUGCAGAAAGGCCAAAUAUAUGCUCAUACACCUCUGCAUAGACAAUACUGAGGAUUUUUCACCAUGGCAUGCACUUUUUAUGUGGGAAUUAUUUAUGUGAUUACGAGAGGCAGCCGAUAACCUUGAUGAUCUAGAUUAUUAUUAUUUUUUGGUAAAGAUGAUGAUCUAGAUUAUUAUAGGAUGAAAAAUUCAAAAAGAAUGAUGAUUUGAUGUUACUGAACAUCAUCUGGCAUUUGUUUGUUGUUUUCCCCCCUUGAAAAAAUUUCACAUGCUAAGUAGUUUAUCUACUUGAAUGAAUAUCAUUCGACUCAUUUUAGUGUUUUCUGGGUACUCUGAAAUAUCUCUGUGAACUAAUGUCUCGGGCUGAGCAGCCAACUUAGGCUGUGCAGCAGGUAAAAAUGCCCCAUCAUGAAUAACCCGGAUUAUUAUAGCACAUUUCAGGACAGUCCUGCCUUUCACAACCAAAUAAAAUGCAUCUCUUUGUUGCCAGGCCUGAUCAGACUGAAGAUUCAGAACCUGUGAAGAGACCUGCAUACUUACAGGACCCACUUAUUAUAGUUGCCUUCUUGGUUAGUCCGUGGUAGUAAAAACCAGGCUGAGGAAUCUUAUGUCACAUGGGUAGAGGAGCAAGGCGUGACUUCACUCAAUUACAUGUUUCUGAAUCUUCUUUUUUCAACGUAGUCGAUCUUUACUUGCGUCUCUGCAUGAUUCAGGCAUCUGCUUUUGAUAUUUACGUCCUGCUUCGUUGGAUGAUCCGCGCCAAAGAAUGUAACAUCUCUGGAUUUCGUUUUGCUUUUUAGACACAUUCCAUAGAAGUGUUUCCCUUGCAUUUCUUCUGGCUAUUUCUAUGAUUUAUUUUUAGUAAAAAAAACAGAGAAUUUCGACACGUCAACACGUUGUUUCUCAAAAAACAGAGAAUUCCGACAUGUUGGGACACAUUGUAUAUUAAAUAUACAUAUUUAUAUAUACAUAAUAAAUUAUCAUUUUUUUAAUUAUUUCAAUCAAAUUAAUUUGAAUCUAAAAACAUUAAUCCGCUAUUUAUUAGUAUCAUUCAUUAUUUCAAUUUGAUAAAUUCAACUUUAUUUCAAUAAUUUAUAAAACUUGGAGAAAAAACAAGCGAUCUAUAUUAUAAACUUGCAUGUUAGAUAUGUUGAAAGAGGAGAAAAAAAACUUAAGGGGUGAAUUGCGUAUCACGGGAAGUGGAAGUCAAAAGAGAAGAGAAGACUAGGUUUUUCUUCUUUCUCCAUUUAUUAUUUUUAUUAUUGUGUUUUAUUUUUUCACAUAUAUAUAUAUAUAUAUAUAUAUAUUGAUCUCUAAUUUAUUUAAUUUUUUCUAUUAACCUCGAUAUCGAAAUCACAUGUCGGAAACGCAUAUGUUAGAAUUCUGAUUCGAGUAUUGGAGAGUAACAAGAAAGUUGAUAAGGUGUCAGAUUUUACGACACGUGUUGACCGAGUGUCGGAAAGUUUUCGAGAGUGUCGGACACGUGUCGAAAUGUCCGACACGAUAGGAAAACUCUUGGAGAGUGUCAGUGUUUCAUAGACUGGUAUAGCUGUUAAUUGUCACGUAUCAUUUAACUCAGUAAUUUGAUAGGCAAAUUUAACAGAAACUACGUAUCAUUUAACUUAGUAAUUUGAUAAGCAAAUUUAACAGAAACUAACAGAGGGCAAAUUUGUCACAGGUAUAUCGGUUUGGAGUUUUUUUGAAUUAAAAAAUUAGUUUUAGGUAAAUUUCUCACAAGUAUACCAAUUUGAGGCUUUUCACUAUUCUAAUGUUUCUUGUGAUAAAGGUUAUUGAGUUUAAGGAGAGGUGUCAAAGACCUAUUUUUUAAUUCAUUUUUAAUAGAUUUAAUCGCACAUGGGUUAGUUUAAAUUUAAAGAAUUGGUUGGUUGUUAUGGGUUUAGAAUAGCAAAGCCCAACAAGAUAUGGAUUUUAAUGGGAUAAGUAUAUUAGAAAUUCUAAAAUUUGUCAUGAAAGUACAAUUAAGUUAUAGACCUUGUCAUAAGAGUGUAAUUGAAUUCUAAAACUUUCAAAAGUAUAAUUAAUUUCUAAAACUUAUCAAAUUGGUCCAAUCGAGUCAUUCCGUUGAAUUCAUUUUUUUUGAAUGUUUUAGAACUUUAUUGUUCACUAGUAUGACCAGUUUUAUGACUUGAUUACACUUUCAUGACAAGUUUUAGGACUUCAUUAUAUUUUUUUGAAAGUUUUAGGAUUCGAAUACAUUUUUAUGACAAGUUUUGAAACUUAACUGUACUUUUGAAUAUUUCAAAACUCAAUUGUAUUUGCAUGACUAGUUUUAAGACUUUCAUCGUACUUAAUCCAAUUUUAGUGCACCUACAUUAGCAAAUGUUGCGCCAUAUUAGGGGAAAAAAUGCUACAAAUAGAAAGACUAAAAUACAAAGAAAUAAAAACUAGAGAGAGAGGCCCCUUUUACCAUUGUCGCUCGCUGGGGUUGUGCACCCUUGUGGUUGAUGUGGCGGCCCUUGUCACAGCCAAGCAAAGUGUGAUGAGGGCCACCAGCAAGAGUAGGCAAGCAGGCCGUCGCUGGCUACGAAGGGGCAGUGUCCUUUUAUACCAUUGCCUUACCUGUACAGUGCGUCUGUUUCCCUCUCUUUAAACUUUCAAGGAAUCAGUUUUCAUUUUUUCAUCGUUUUCAUUUUUUGCACAUCAGGUUAGAAUAAUAAGUUGAGCAUUCAAAUGAUUGCUCUAAUUUUCAUCGUAUUCAGAGAUCGUUUGUUUAGUUACCUAUCUUUUGUAGGGUUCAAUAUCAUAAUCAAACCCAAACAAAGAGUCAUGCUUAACUAAUAAAGAGUCACGGGACCCCGUUCGUAAAUAAGAGGAAAACGAGGGACCGAAUCCUAAGUUGGAGUUCGCCGACCGGAGGAGGGGCUGCAUAGCAAAUAAGAGGAAUCCGAGGGGACCGAUGGCGGAUUUUCAUCGUCUCUCCCGAUCCCUUCUCCUCCUUCUCCUCGCUGCUUCGUACGCCUACUCCCGUGGUAUGAAACUGGGAGAUGGAUCUUUGAAAUAGAGUGGGAAGAGGGACGAAAACUGAUUUCGUUUGGAAAGAAGAUGGACAUCCAGGAUUCUCGCAACUGUGGAGAAGGUUCCUCCGAAACAAGAGAAGAGAGUUUCGAUGUGUUUUUGAGCUUCAGUGGACGGGAUACUCCCAGUGGCUUUGUGGAUCAUCUCCACCAUAGCCUCCUCCACGCGGAGAUCAGCGUGUUGAGGGAUGAUGGGGAACUCACCGCCGUGGGAGAGGAGAAAGGCCGUCGCUUACCCAAGCGAUCAGGCAUUCUAAGACCGCCAUUCUGAUCCUGUCAGAGAACUAUCUGUCGAGCAUGUCGUGCCACGCAAAGCUGGCUCAGAUCGUGGAGUGCCACAAGUGCCACAAGACGACGGGCCAGAUCAUCAUGCCCGUCUUCUACAGCGUCUCGCCAACGGUCGUUAAAGAAAGGAUCCCCCGAUUACGGAAAGGCUAUCGCCAGGCAUAGACAGGAAGACCCAGACACCCUCCAGGAAUGGAAGAAAGGUCUCAUCCAUUUGGGAUCCAUCUCAGAGUGGGCGAGUAAUCGGUGAGUGAAAUUGAGUAAGUUCGACUGAUUAACCAAGCAUCCAAAUCCCAAGCUAGCGCUUACUUCAAUUUAAGUUAAUCUAAUUAGACUAAUGCUGCUAGGUGUAUCAAUACCUGAUGUAGCACACUCUGAUCUGGUACUGAAUAUGAUCCGCUUGUCUACAUUCUUACUCCCCCGCUUGCCACAUUACUUAAUGUUUCGGUUUUGUUGAUAAAUUUCAGCGUUCUAGCGUUACACGUAUCUCAUAACUCAGUUUUUCCAUGUUGGAUCACUGCAUUAAAUGGAAGGCAGCGGUUAUAGUUUUGAUUUUAUGUCAAUAUGGUCCAGGAGAAUGUUCUUCCUCUUGGAAUCUGCAUCCACAGGAAAUCUAACUCUUGCGAGAAAAUGCCAGUGUAGAGUGAUACCGAUUUGCUUAAUUUCUGUGGAUGCAACUGACAACCUUUGCAUCCCAUCAUAUUGUGCUUUGUCUGUGUUGAUUUAGCAAAAACACGUGCAGCUAAUUGCGUGGCCUGUUUGUUUAAAGCUGAUCGAUGUAUGAUAGUUUUGUAAAGGAAAGAGUGGUCUUUUUCUUGCUAACUACUUCAGAGUUUCGACAUUGUUGGACUUACAUUAAUCUCUAUGCGUGUGACUUGUGCCCCAUGGGCACGCGUGAUACAGCUCUGGCACAAAUGCUUCACUCAUCGAUGAACUUGUCGCAAAUGUGUUGAGGGCGUUGAACAGAUACCUUGUUGACAUCAAGCAUGAUGUGGAAAGAGUUAUGGAAUUACUAGAUGAGGAAUCUAGCAAUGUUCGUGUAGUAGGAAUACAUGGCAUAAGGGGCACCGGGAAGACCACAAUUGCAAAGCUCAUCUGCACAAGAAUGUUUCAUCUCUUUGAUGGCUGGAGCUUUUUAGAAAGCGUUAGAGAAUAUGAAGAAAGACAAGUAGGUUUAAAAAUCAAGUAGGUUUAAAAAUUUUAUGAGGUCAGUUGUUUUCUGACCUUCUGGGUGAAACACAUAGACAAAUCCAUUCUUUUGAAGAGAGGACUGAGCUUCAUAUUACCACCAAAAAAGUACAAGCUUUAGCUGAGCUUGAAGGGUCUCGAAUUCACAAGGUCAUGGGCUUGCAAAAAGGUGAUGCCCUUAAAUUUCCACACCCAUGUCCUCAGGAAGAGGCAUGUUCUAAAUGACUUCCAUACUUUGUCCGAAAAAAUAGUAUCAAGUAUUGACUAGCGUCCUUCGACAAUUGAGGUUGUUUGAUCGUAUCUAUGUUCUAAAACCAAGGACAAGUGGGAGCAGACAUUAAACAAGUUGCAAAAAGUAAACGAAUUGGAAAAAGAACCUUAGCCAUGAGUUCAACAUAAAUUGAAGGUAAUCAUUGAUGCAUUACCUAGGAAGCAAAGAUAAAUAUUUCUGGACAUUGCUUAUUUCUAGAGAGGACGAAAGUGUUGCAUGCUACUUGUGGUCUGACUGUGGUUCUACAAGCGGAUCAAUAUUAAAGGUGCUCAUGGACUUGUCCAUUGUUAAGAUUGAGAAUGGUAAGCUAUGGAUGCACGAUAAACUUCAAGAACUAGGUAGGGAUAUUGCCCUACCUAAAAAUCUUGAACCUGAAAAAGUGCAGUAGACUGUGGAGUCACAAGAGAGCCUGGAAUGUGCCUCAAAAAUGAAAAAGUGAGACACAAAUUUCAUCAUUGUUUUUACCUUACGAUUGGUAUGCCUUACAACUCAUGUUUCCUCUUUUGAUAGAGGGAAAAAUACUUAUGGUGUAUAUGUUUCCACAAAAAAUAAAAAAUUUGAAAAAUAUUUUUCUGAAAAUGAUCAUUUACAUUUUUCGAAAUAAUUAGUCAAUGAAAUUUUUUCAUUGUUGAUAUCAAUUUAUAUAUAUAUAUAUAUAUAUAUAUAUAUAUAUAUAUAUAUAUUCAUAAAUAAUAAAAAUAUUUAUUGUUCAUUUGUUUUUGUGAGAGAUGAAAGCAAGCAUUUUCAAGGAAUUUUUUUCAAAACAUUUUUUUUUUGGUGAAAUAAAUUGAUCCUUAAUAAAAUGAUUUCUUUAGUUUGAAAUCCCUUGGUAACCCAAAUCCUAUAUUCCACGUGCAAGGAACAUAAAUACUUAAGGGAGUUGUUCUAGAAUUUGGUUGUCGGUCACAUCACAGCUUUGGACCAGCACAUUUUGCGGGGACGUCGAGCAUAAGAUUCCAAGCGGACCUCAUUGGAAAUUUUAAGGGGCGUCUGUCAAGUUUAAGAUGGCUCCAUUGGCAAGGUUGUCCUUGGAAUCUUCAUGCUAAUAAUUUGGAUUCGGAGGAGUUGGUUAUUCUAGAUCUUUCUCGGAGCAUGGUCCUUGAAAAAUGGAAUGGUUGGAUUCAAAUCUAGGUAGAGAAGUAUAUUAUUUUUAAUUUCAUUUGUCAAAUUGUUGCGGAAAAGUUAACUAUUUUCUUAUUUUACUUUAUGACAGAAAGCCAAGAAAUUGAAAGUUUUGAACCUCAUCGGUUGUGUUCACUUGAUCAAAAAUCCAGACUUAACUCAUUUCAAAUGUUUAGAGAGAUUGAUUCUUGAAAGAUGCAUGUGGUUGGAUUAAAUUGGUCAAUCGGUAAAAAGUAUGCGAUGCUUGGUUUCACUGAACUUAAGGUUUUGCACUGAACUCAAAAAGUUGCCCCAUGAGCUAGGUUCCCUCACAUCCUUGGAAUAUAUUCUUAUGGAUGAAACUGCCGUUCAAGAUAAUCCUACCUCCAUCGGUGAUUUGCAAAAGCUUAAAAGAUUCAGUGCUUGCAACUAUCUUUCAUUAACCCAGCUGCCCAAAUCAAUUAGCCAUGUAGAAUCUCUAGAAGUCCUCGCACUGAAUGGUACAGAAUUAACUAAACUUCCUCCAUCUGAAGAGUUAGGAGUGCUGCAAUACUUGUCAAUAAGUAAUUAUAAAUCGAUAUUGAGCUUGCCAACGUCCAUGGGGACUUUGGCUUUAUUGAGUGAACUAGACCUAUCAAGCACUUGGAUUAAUGAAUUAUCUGAUACUGUCAAUGAGUCAAGUCUUUUAAGAGUGCUCAAAAUUGAUUUUACUUUUGUAAGAAAGCUGCCUCCCGCUUUAUGGAAAUUGAAGAGGCUUGAAGAGCUUCACGCUUCAGGAUGUCGGAGUUUGGAGGGGAAAAUUCCUAGGCAAAUUAAGAUACUUUCCGCAUUAAGGGUCUUGAAACUUGGAUAAUCUCGGAUUUAUGGUCUACCAGAUAGUAUUUAUGGACUUCCCAAUUUCCAAACAUUUGAUCUGCUUCAUUGUGACUAGCUCUGUGAAGUGUCCGAACUUCCUUCCAGUUUAAUAAGUCUAUCUGUCAGUUCUAAAUUGAUGGACAGGAUCCCAGAUAUCAGUAAUCUGGUUAAGUUGGGGGAGUUAUUCUUGGUUAAAGAUCCAAGAACCAAUGUUACCAGUUCAAGAUAGAAUUGAGGAAAAAGAAUUCACUUUGCAGCUUGGAAGUUUGUUAGAGCUGAAGAUAUUGUAGUUAUCUGCAUUAAAGAUCCAACUACUAGCUAUUGGUUGCAUUACCUUUAUAAGCUCAGGAAGCUCUCCCUUUACUGCAUUCACUUAAAAAAGCUACCACGGUUUCCUCCAGAUUUAUUCAGUCUAUCACUUUGCCAUUACAAAUCGCAGACAAUGCUAGAUCUUUCGUAUUUGGUGCUCCUGUCAGAAUUCGAGCUUUUCGACUAUGCAGUAAUAGAAAUUCAGGCCUUGGGAAGUUCAAAUCCUUGCGAGUUUUCAGAAUAUCUCACUGUGAUCUGCGGCAAGUGGAUGAACUGGAGAAUUUGAUCUUUAUAGCAUCAUUAAAUGUUUCAUACUGUCAAAGUCUUGAGAGACUUCCCGAUCUAUUAAAACUAACGAUGUUGAAAAACAUUAAAAUCGAGGGCUGUCUGAUGAUUCCCAUGAUUCCCUAUCUAUUAAAAUUGAUGAGCUAGAGAAUUUGAUCUUUAGACACGUAAUGCGAUAAGCGAGAUUUGCCUGCCAUCACUGUCUCGAUUUUAAUGUCUUUCAGCAUCGUCAAUUUUAAUAGAUCGGGAAGUCUCUCAAGACUCAAGACUUUGAUAGCAUGAAACAUUUAAUGAUGCUAAAAAGAUCAGAUUCUCCAGCUCAUCCACCUGCUGCAGAUCGCAGUAAGAUACUCUGAAAACUCGCAAUGAUUUGAAACUUCCCGAGGCCUAGAACUUCUAUUACUACACAGUUGAAAAGCUCGAAUUCUGACAAGAGCACCAAAUACGAAAGAUUUGGCAUUGUCUGCGAUUUGUAAUGGCGAAAUGAUAGAGUGAAUAAACCUGAAGGAAGUCAUGGUAGCUUUUUUAAAUGAAUGCAGCAAAGAGAGAGCUUCUUGAGCUUAUAAAGAUAGUGCAAACCUUCUUGAGCUUAUAAAGGUAAUGCAAACCAACAUAUAGUAGUUGGAUCUUUAACGCAGAUAACUGCAAUAUCUUCAGGUCUGACAAAUUCCCAAGCUGCAAAGUGCAUUAUUUCUCCUCAAUUUUAUCUUGAACUGGUAACACCGGUUCCUGGGAUCCUUCACUCAAGAAUAACUCCCCCAACUUAACCAGACUACUGAUGUCUGGGAUCAUGUCCAUCAAUUUAGAACUGACAGAUAGGCUUAUUAAACUAGAAGGAAGUUCGGACACUUCACGAAACUGGUCACAAUGAAGCAGAUCAAGUGUUUGGAGAUUGGGAAGUCCAUAAUUGCUAUCUAGUAAACCACAAAUCCGAAAGUAUCCAAGUUUUAAGACUCUUAAUGCGGAAAGCAUCUUAAUUUGUCUAAGAAUUUUUCCCUCCAAUAUUCUGAAACGUGAAGCUCUUCAAGCCUCUUCAAUUUUCAUGUAGUGGGAGGCAGCUUUCUCACAAAAGUAGAAUCAAUUUUGAGCACUCUUAAAAGACUUGACUCAUUGACAGUAUCAGGUAAUUCAUUAAUUCUGAUGUUUGAUAGGUCUAGUUCACCCAACGAAGCCAAAGUCCCCAUAGACAUUGGCGAGCUCAAUAUUGACCUAUAAUUACUUAUUGACAAGUAUUGCAGCACUCCUAACUCUUCAAACAAGGGAAGCUUAAUUAUUUCUCUAUCAUUCAGUGCGAGGACUUCUAGAGAUUCUACAUGGCUAAUUGAUUCAGGCAGCUGGGUCAAUGAAAUACAGUAAGCACUAAAUCCUUUAAACUUUUGUAAAUCACCGAUGAAGGCAGGAAUCUCUUAAACGACGGUUUCAUCUAUAAGAAAAAGAUUUAACUUUUUAAUGCUUUUUGAGUUUUCGAAAAUCUUUUUGAAUUUUUGUUAUUUUUCGAAAUUUUUUAAUUUUCUUUUUUUUUGGAAGUUUUUUGAAUUUUUAAUAUAUUGUUAAUAUUUAAUAUUAUUAUACCUCAAGAAAAUGGGUUUGGACCAGGUAAACCCAAUCCAGCCCGCUGACGCAGCCCAAACGCGGAUCCGACCCAAUAGGAUAAAAAGACAUUUUUUCAUAUUAUUAUUUUUAAAAAAAUUAAUAUCUUUUUUUUUAACUUUUGUCUUCUUCCCUAUUUCGUCUUCUUCUACUGCACUUUCUCUUCUGCCGUUCCUCCUUCCCGAAGCAACUUUUGCUUGCUUUUUCUUCUUUACUUUAAAAAAAAAAAAAAAAACUUUUGGCUGCACUCUUUUUCUUGCUUUUUCUUUUGUUUUUGUUUUUACUCUUCUUUGGUCUUCUUCCUCGCGCGAUCUCCUUCACCGAGCUCCAGCCUUCCGAAGAUCCCAUUUUUUAAGACAAACCUCGACCAAAGCUCAAGCCACCGCCGAGCCACUACCCUUCACCGGUCGUACACCCCGACCACCACUCGUCGACCGACCUCCCCGUCGAUUUUCUUUUGUCAUCGGACGGCCAUUGUCGGCCACAAAGCAUGAAACACAACACAAUGUAAAUGAUGACGGGGGCGGUGGCAGCGAAACGACCGAACGACCAACGCCGGGGAAUGCUAAUCACAAAAACGACAUCUCAACAGAACAAAUCAACCUGUGGACAUUCAGUUUUGGCCAAAACGGGCAAAAGCAAAACUAGAUCUCGGUGAAGCAUUUCAUCGAGCGAGUGGCGUGCGACCUCGAGCGAAGGGUUUCCGACUCAACCAGGACUCAAAACGAGGCCGGGAUUCUCAGCAAACAUCCAACAACACCCAGUGACUUAGCUAAAGACCUACAGGGGCCGGAGUUCGUGUGAGCCGAAUGGCCACGAACCCCAGCCCGGCGUACCCAAGAGGGGCAGCAAACAAAUGUAAAGACGGAAGCUUACUAGUUCGGGCUUGAGAACUUCUACCAGGAGGGGUCGUUGGGCGGAGCUCGCGUGUGGCCAAGUGGUCAGCCGAGGCUCCCUCUCGUUCUUCGUUCACUCUCGGCUUUCACUGUCUCGACUCCUCUCCUCUCUCGCGGCUCUGGUUGUCUUCGGCUGGUUCGGCGUCGGGAGCAGCGGCGGCGAGUGCUGUAGGUCGGCGCUUGGAGGGCAGCGGCGGCUCGGACGGCAGUAGGGCAGCGUCGACGACACCUUUUCCCCCUUCUCGGUUCUAUUCCUCCGCUUUUUCUUUGUGCUUGGUCUCCCUUUUUGUUCCCCCUUUUUCUGGUCUGCUCGGGUUCUCUGUUUUAUGCUUCUGUUUUCCCUUUUGCAGGUCGUCGUCCUGCCGUGCCAGUUCUCUUUCCUUUCCAUCUUCAGCUCAAAUUGUCCUCGGUCAGUCCAGCCUCCCUGCCUCUAUAUAUGCCUGCACCCGGUUUUCUCCUCAGGACGGAGUUCGGUCUGUUUUCAGCUAUAACGGCUACAGGUUUUCUUGGGCUCCGUCAACUGCAGGCGCUGCCCCGCCGCAGCCAAGCUUUCUUUGCUUCCCUUCUUCUGCUGUCUUCUGCCGCUCCCUCUGUUCUGUUUCUUUCUUUUUUUGCAGGUCUUCGAAGACCGACACAGAGGGAGGAAGACCCUCACUCGCGGGCUGAAAGGGAAAAAGGGGCUGGGCCGGGCCGGGCCCAGCGCGGGGGGAAGAGAAAAAGAAAAGGAGCCGAUAUCGAUUGAUAAUUUUUUACUUUUUUUUUUCCGAAUCUUUUAAAAGAAAAAUUAAUUAUAUUUUUUUUUGAUAAAUUUUAAAACCAGUGACACAAAUACUCUUAAUGUCUAUAUGUGAUGCAAUUUUGAUAAAAAAAAUUUGUUAAGGAGCUGGAAAUUAAUCCCUAAUUUUCUAAUGCAAUUAAUAAACACUUAAAUAAAUUGCCAAAAUUUAGGUGUCAACAUGUACUUUUGGCAUCCUUACUAGGUCUUAGUGUGUUAGAGAAACUCCUUAAUUUCCAAAAGGAUAUGGCUUAUGUAUCCAAUGCCUUUGAGUGGCCAGGAUACUAUUUGGUUCUAGAUACAUUCUUGAUUGAAGUCGUGAUGUCUUCUUUAUAUUAUGAUACGGGGAUAUGGUAAAAGGACUCAGCCAAUUGCAUAGCUUGGGAAUAAUCCAUCGGGACUUAAAAGCCUACAUACGUAUUGAUUACUAAGAAUCCAUUUCGUGCUAAGCUAUCUGAUAUGGGCAUGAGCAGAUGCCUUCCUAAGUAUAGAUCUUCCUUGAGAUAUCAUGCCACUAGUAAGUGCUCAUGAUAGCUUUAUUCAGACCCUUGAUCUUCUUUUCUUCAAUAUUGAUCCGUGCAUAAUCUGAAUCUAUACAGUGGUAAAUCAUCUUCGGAUUCCUGGCUAAAAAUAUUAGACCUAUAAUUUUACUUUGUUAGAACAAUUUCUUCUUUUAAAGAAGACUGUUAUGCUGGAAGUUAGGUUGCUUUGUAUUGCUUCUUAUGUCGUGGUAAAGCUUGUGGAGAUUUAAUAGUCUUUGCCAUGGUCUCCCUUCAUUGAUUGGUGAAUCUAUCAUAUCCAUCUAUAUUUUGUCCAAGUGAUGAGGGCUCUUUUAUUGAUCUUCGUUGUCUGUCUUGCAGGUUGUGGAACCAAAGGAUAUCAAGCACCUGAAGUGUCUCGUGAUGGUGGGCGCCAAACACAGGUAAUGGAUUUGUUUAGUUUAGGGUGUGUCUUGUUCUUUUGCGUCACUUGUGGAAAACAUCUAUUUGGUGACAACAUUGCUUUCAACAAUCCAAACCUAUCCUUGGUGAAAGAUAUGCCAGAAGCUCACGAUUUGAUUUCACGUUUGCUAAGCCAAGAUCCCGAAUCGAGGUGAGUGUAUAUUGUCAUUGUUAUUUUGCAUCACUACGUUUUCCAUUCUGCCAUUUUAUAGAUUUUACAACCAUUGUUAGUUGACCGAUUUCCACUUUCCUGCAUCACUUAAUCUCAUGAGCAUUAAAGGCGCCCUGAAACUCAUCAACCAUGGCUUAAAUAUCUUUCUUGCUGUGGGGUUCUACUUGAUGAGCAAAAAAUGUGUAGAUCCCACUUAUUUCUUUUGGAAAUUGACAAUAGAAGCCGAAGAAAAGGUUGACCAUGUGAUAACCUAAAUGCCUUUGACAAUUGUGAUAUUCCAACGUUAGAUGAUCAUUGUUGGAAGCCUAGUUAUUAGGGGUAUAAAUUUGUUACCCACCCACGAACAAAUAAAUUCCAAUCAUUCCUAGUGUAAUAUUAGAUUUGCUAUACGUGCACUGAAGAGGAUUUCGUGUGAAGAUUCUAGGGGUUUUAGCAUAUGGCGCUCACUAUGAAAUAAGAAUCCUAGGGACAGGAUGAUUAGAUUUCUAAUUUAAAAUACUCGGAGUAAAUAAUUCCUAGGUUCUUAUUGUAGUCAAAUAACUACUGCCUUCAUCCCGGAUUCGUGAAUUGUGAAUUUCAUGGAAGUUUUCAGACAUUUUGGUUACUCUUUCAUUGAGCUAAUGCAAUUUUAAUUAUUUUAAAGAUUGCAUGAAUGCCAAACUUGCGAUGCUUUUAAAGUCAAGAAGUCGGUCUAUUUCAGUAUUGUUUUUUUUUUUUUUUCAUUCACUGCUUCGCGGCGGAAUAAACUCUAGGGAUAGGUAGAGUCACCACCACCCUUGCCUACCGGGUAAGUCGCUUGACGACGCUGAGAAUCGAACGCUGGACCUCUCAUGAAAGGAACCAGUGCCCAACCAACAAUGCUGCCACCAUCGAGUGGUGUCUAUUUCAAUAUUAUUCAUGUAAUUGAUUUCUUUGAAAUGUUGGGUCAAUAAUAAAUUACUUUUUAUGACUAGCAGGUUAAAGGCAUCGGAAGUGCUUCACCAUCCAUUUUUUUGGAGUUCAUAUAUAAGACUGAAAUUUCUUCAUGACGUCAACAUCAAAGUAAAAGCGGAAGCUAAGAAAGCCAAAUCGGUUCCUCUUAAAGCAUCAGGGUCGUCACUCAUAAAGUGGAAUUGAAAGCUGAAGCUGGGAAAGGCAAUUCAGAUCUUCCCAAAAAAUUGGAGAACAUUGCGCAAUUGGUUUUUGAUGAGGAUUGGAUUAAGAAAAUAGAUGAAGAUGUUAUGAGGAUUGGAUUAAGAAAAUAGAUGAAGAUGUUAUGAAUGACCUACGUCUACACAGACGUAAGCUUUAUGAUGGAAGUAGUGUCAGAGACUUAUUAAGAGUCGUGCGAAAUAAGUUCAAUCACCUCGUGGGUACUUCAAAACAUGUUGAGGUACUGUCUCGCUCUCUCUCUCUCGAAUAGUGGUGAUAUUUACAGCCGCAUGCGUACAAUGCUCAUAUCUUUUAUUGCUUUGAUGAUUCUGAUAGGCGAUCCUCGGAUCAGAUUCUAGUGAUUUUGAGGCUUACUUCACCAAACGAUUCCCCAGACUCUUGAUUGAGUCAUACAAAGCGGUGUCCCAAAGCCUCGAAGGGAAGAAAUUGCUUGCGGAAGUGCUUUCUUUGCUUCCUAAGUAACGUGCUUUUGACCCUUUGGCCACUUCCCGCGGUGAUUCCUUCUUCAAGGCAACAGGGUUGGCCAUGAAUAUUACUGGACAUUCCACUUGUCUUUUCUGUUGUGUCUGCUGUCUUGGUUACGUGGAUGAAGCUAGAUGGGGCGUCAGACUCUAUUCAUAUUGUCCCUAAUAUCAAAUCUUAAAUAAUUUUAUAGUAUAGUAUUGCCGCAUACUUGAAAUGUUUGAUGCAUUGUUCUUGAUAUUGCAUAAACAAAUAUUGUAUUUCAAUUUCAUGCAAUUUUUUUCAAUAACGUAAUUUUUAAAUUUAAAUCUUGUACUUUUUUUUUUCAAAAGUUAUAUUUUUAGAGUUAAAAAAAAAACAAAAAACAAAAGGCCCAGGCCCACGCUUGGACCAAUGCAGCCCAGGGGUCAGCCCUGGUAGACACUUUUCAUCAACAAAAGGUACCGUUACCUCCUUAAUAGUUUAGCAACUUCUUCGCCUGCUAGUAAUUUUUUCCAUAUGCAACCUAAAUGUCUAAAGAAAAAUAUUUAGGUCAAGUAAAUCUCAAUGGAGUGGGUAACAUUCUCAGUUAUGAAAGAAAUGUAACUCAACUCGCUAGUUUUUACCUAUGAAAUAAGCAUCACCCUACUAUUUUGAAGUAUUUACACACUCUCUCAUUGGAGGGAAUUAAAAGUUGAAUCUACAUGUAAUUAAAAUAUUAAAAAAUAACAUUUAUGUAUUUCAAAAUCUCAAAAAGAAAUCAAUGGCAAUAAAAUGCAUUAACAGUUGUAAACCUCACAAAAAGUGGACGAAAAAUCUUAUCUAUCGUCUACAUACUCCAUGCUUUCUCUAGACAAAUUUAUGUACACUUAGUUUGUCCAAUCAAGUAGCUCUAGUUUCACAAAUUUUUAGAUCAAGUCUAUAUGACACAAAAUAAAACUAAAUUUGGGAGAUGUGGCAUCAAAUGACCCCAAAGUAUGAUGUGAAAAAAUAUAUAGAUGCACACAUGGAUGCGUGUGUGUGGAAAAAUAGCCAAUAUAGAUAGUAUUGAAGUAUGACUCAUUACCCAUUUUUGACGCUCAUGUGGAUGACUACAUUGGAAAAUUUUUAAUCACAUCGUACUCAUUACGAUAUCACUUGAUGGUCAUGUUAGCUAGAUUCAACCAAAUUUGAUGUCAAAAGGAUUUGAUUAAAAAAAUUGUGAAAAAAGUAAGAUGACCUCAUUAGACAAAUUAAAAAUAUAAGAACUUGAUUAGAAAACAAAGUAAAAAUAAAAGUAAAAGUAUAGAGACGAUAAGUAAAUUUUUUUGUAAUAUAAUUGGCUCUUGCGUCUGUCUCUCUCUCACAGAUUGCUUCAGAUGUUUCAAGUAUAUAUAUAUUAAAAUUAAAAAUAUAAGAACUUGAUUAGAAAACAAAGCAAAAAUAAAAGUAAAAGUAUAGAGACGAGACGAAAAGUAUUUUUUUUUUUUUUUGUAAAAUAAUUCUCUCUCUCUGUCUAUCUCUCUCUCUCUCUCUCUCAGAUUACUUUAGAUGUUGCAAGUAUAUUAUUUUAUCUAUUUUAUUCUAACUACAUAUAAUGGGUGAGAAUAUCUUGAGUCCAGGAAAAGGGUUAAAGACAUGAAUAAUAUUAUCAUCAAACAAUUCACACUUUCGAUACUAUGGCUCCAACAUUAUUUGCAACCAACCCAUCCAAAACAAUCAUCAAUGAUUAAGUCACUUUUGAAAUUAUUAAGUGUGAGAAGCUCUAAUAUAGUUCAAAACAAAAAAUUCUAAUAUAUGAUGACAGUCACUAACAGCUUAUCAUUCCCAACGAUUUAAAAAGCUUUCUUACAUUUUAUUUUUUGACCCUAGUCAUCAUGUAAUAGUGAUUAUAGAGCAUGGUAAAUUUAUUUUCCAAUAAUUUCUGAUCAUAUUUACCAAGCAAAGCUUAGCGAGCUUCCAAAACUGGACUCAAUUUUCUAAAACCAGCGUCAAACAUAAAAGUUGAAGUUCCUCAGUACAAAUUUUCACGAGGCCAUGCUGUUCAACUACCCUGAUUCAUCACGUUUCAGUUAACAAUUGGUUUCACUUUUAUGCACACAGGCUAUAUAGACCUUACAUAUUGUAAGAUCUACUUGAUUAAAUUCUUACAUAUAUCUUUCGUAUGGUGAGAGUUGUGUCAUCGAUUAAAUUUCAUAUAAUUUGUUUGCACACCUUGUGACGUUAUUGAGUUCAUAAUUUUCAAGCCCUGUCGUCGAUUUAAUUCCGACUUGAUUUGAGAUUGUACAAUAUUUUUUGGAUCGAAGAAGUUGAUUUUUGUUUGUUUGUAAUAUUUUCUAUACAAAAUUAGCACAGAACCUUAAUUUCCUCACAUUAUAAUUGAAGAACAACCUUUGAUGAAAGAUAUUUCAUUUUGGAAAAUUCCGACCAAACAUCUUUUCGGCAUACACGGUAGAAUCAGUGUUGAUGAUAUGAGGAAAUAAACCAACACGUCGUACAGGGAGUCAACUCGAUACCAUUUAUACUGGUGGGAAUAAUUCACCACCACAGCCCGCUGACGAAAGGGUUGGACGCGCUGAGUUGUCGACGGCAUCUCCAGCUUGAUGCCUCGGACUAUUCUGGCGCCUAAUUCCAUACAGGCCGAAUGUUGUCAUCGACAAUCUAAGGAGACCACCCACCCCACCUAGGGGCAGGAAUACAACAUCCACUUCAAUCACAAGUGCCACAACAAUAACUCCCGUCACAACCCUAUCUUGGACCAUAACCCGUUGUAGCACCUGCUGUGAUAAUACCUGCGCAAAAUCAACAAAAUGCCCAGUGGAUGUAUGACUAGGCGAUACGGCAAUAUGGGCAUGAAGACGCACGAUAUGUUAGACCUGUUUAGAGAAAACCUUUUCUACAUUGGAUCAACAUAAUACCUUAUCCAAGCAGCUUCAAAAUAACACGGUUCACCCCUUUUUCCUAGCAAGGUUGACCAGUCGACAUUGGAACAUAUCGGUCGAUGUACUGUGCAAUGUGAUGAUGCAGCAUAUGCUGAUUACUGGAAGUUGAGGUUGUUACCUGUCAUUAUCCAUGACUGCAUUUACUCGAUAUGUGGCAUUGCCACCAAUUUCCGUCUAUUCAUGGGAAUAAAUGGAAAGAUUAUUUCAUGAACAAUUCCAGAGAUCCAUCCUUGAUGUGUCUAUGAAGCAGUAAAAUGAUGAGUUGAUAGAUCAGUUCAUAUUUCGGUUCAAAAAGGCAAGGAAUCGAUGCCUUCUGCCUUUACUGGAAAAAUCCCUUGUGGAUGUAGCUCUGGCAGGUUUGAAGUUUUCUAUCAGAGAAAAGAUGGUAGGACGAUAAAUUAAUGAUCUNNNNNNNNNNNNNNNNNNNNNNNNNNNNNNNNNNNNNNNNNNNNNNNNNNNNNNNNNNNNNNNNNNNNNNNNNNNNNNNNNNNNNNNNNNNNNNNNNNNNNNNNNNNNNNNNNNNNNNNNNNNNNNNNNNNNNNNNNNNNNNNNNNNNNNNNNNNNNNNNNNNNNNNNNNNNNNNNNNNNNNNNNNNNNNNNNNNNNNNNNNNNNNNNNNNNNNNNNNNNNNNNNNNNNNNNNNNNNNNNNNNNNNNNNNNNNNNNNNNNNNNNNNNNNNNNNNNNNNNNNNNNNNNNNNNNNNNNNNNNNNNNNNNNNNNNNNNNNNNNNNNNNNNNNNNNNNNNNNNNNNNNNNNNNNNNNNNNNNNNNNNNNNNNNNNNNNNNNNNNNNNNNNNNNNNNNNNNNNNNNNNNNNNNNNNNNNNNNNNNNNNNNNNNNNNNNNNNNNNNNNNNNNNNNNNNNNNNNNNNNNNNNNNNNNNNNNNNNNNNNNNNNNNNNNNNNNNNNNNNNNNNNNNNNNNNNNNNNNNNNNNNNNNNNNNNNNNNNNNNNNNNNNNNNNNNNNNNNNNNNNNNNNNNNNNNNNNNNNNNNNNNNNNNNNNNNNNNNNNNNNNNNNGUUGCUUUGACAUUAGAAAUUCAAAAUCUGUUUUAGGAAAUACAUGGUUGGAUAUAUAAUUAUACAUGCAAUUUUGCAUGACUAAGUCCAAUAAUCUCUUUUGUGAUGCUAAGGUUAAACUCUAGUUAAUUUAAUUUCCUAUUUAAACUGGAUAUUAUUCCGAAUUAAAAGAAUGGAAAAUGUUUUAUUAAAAUAUAUAAUUUAUGAUGCAAUCUUAUUGACACCCACCAUCCUGCUAAUAAACUUAUAUUUUCUCAACAGUUUGCACAUAUGUUAAUACAACACCAUGCUAUAUGGGGUUGUGUUUAUAACUGUAAAAGUUUUUAUGUUGUUAGUUGCAUUAAUUAAUAUUAUAAUUAAUAUUUUUAUGGGAUUAAUCUAAUAAUGUGAUAUAUAAGCAUUCUAAGUUGGUCUAAUAUGGGAGUGGUUAGUAUGAACCGAAUAAAACUCGACUUGUAAUGAGAGGGCAUUUUAUUUAAAACUCUAUAAGGAGUGUUUACUAAAUGCUGAGAGUGAGAAGCAGUCUCAUUGAGCCAAUGAUAUAAAAGACAAUAGCGAAGAAGCACUUAAGCUUUAGAUCAUUAUUGUUGCAUCAAAAACGAUGGAUUCCAAAUCGAAUGCAUAAAUUUCUUUUACUUGAUUAUAUGUAUUCUUGAUUCUAUCUACGGAGAUCUUCAAUACCAUUUUCAUGGCUUACAUUCUUAUCCUUUUAACAUUUUGAGUAAAUUAUAAUUCUUUAAAGAUUAUUCUAUAAACUUAUUAAGCUUAUUGGUGAUUCUCUUGCUAAUUAUAAUGGUACCAAAUAUUUCUCUAUAAACUUUAUUAUAUUUUCUUGAAAAUUGCUCUAAUUGUGAUAUCGUUCUUUUGGAACUUGGAAAUUGUUUUACUUUCUGUUUUGAAAUGAAAAUUUCUUGUCUUUUCUCAUACUUUUUCACCAUCAUAUGUUUGAAAGAAUUUAAAAGGGCUGAUUUGAAUCUGCAUAAUAUCUACUACGUAUGAAAAUAUAAUGUGUUUUCAACAUAUUUUUAUCUAUUCUUACUAUCAUAUAGAUCUCAUGAUCAUGAGCCACAACAUGUCAAGCCACUUUAAGUUUUGUCGCUCAAUUUAUUGUUGUCUAUUUUAUAUCAUAAAUAAUUGUACUCUAAAAUUAAUUAGUAAAUAGUGUCUUUCGGUCAAAAGUUGCAAUCAUUAAGUUAGUAGCAUGUUAAUUCAUAUUAAAGUUACAUCUAUUUAUAGUACAUUUAUAAUACAUGACUAUUCGUGUGGCUUCCAUAGAUUAACUCAUUUGUCCAUUUUAGCUCAUUUCAUACUGAGCUUCACUGUCUUGUCCUUUGAUGUACAGGCGGACACCUUUUCAAGAGAUCAUUCAUGUUGGUAGUGCUCCCAUUUGAGCGCACUUAAUUAUGGAGUUUGAAAACUAAGUAUUGUCAUUACCUCAAAAUGCGCCUCCAUGAAUUAAUUUAAGUUUUGACAUAUUUAUUCUAGAGUAUCUCUUCGCCUAUUUGGUGCAUAGUUCAGUUUAUUCUUGCUCUCUUCACUAUUUUAGAAACCUACUAGAAGCCACUCCUUGUCCACGCCCUCUGGCUCCAACAACCACUCCUUGCUCUCAUCGAAUCUAAUUGUUAUAGGCCUACCAACUUCCAUGUAAUUCAUUUAUGAACCACAUACCUACUAAAGGGGGUCCUACUCCAAUACCGUAUUGUGACAUUAUUGGAUUAACUCACUAAGAUAUUAUUCGCUUUGACUCGUCCCAUAACUAAGCCUUAUAGUUUUGCCUUUUGGCAUACAGGUGGAUAGUGCUCCCACCUAAGCAUGCUUAACUUUAGAGUUCUAAAGCUAAAACGCUACUAUAUGACUUCGUGAAUUAAUUCCAACUUUUACAUAUAUAUAUUACAAAAUCACUGUCUACUUAUUCGGUGCACAAUUCGAUCCAUUUUUACCUCCUUCACCAUGUUAGAAGCUCUUUGACCUUCACAACCACUCCCCAUCUUACAAUUCGUACAAAUAAUGUGUCUUUCCAUCUACUUUUAAAGGAUUAAGUGUGAGAAAAUAUUUCAUAUUUGUUAUUUGUUAACUAGGAAAAAAAAAAGCAUAAAUCCUUAAAAGGCACGUCUUUUCUCGUUAUAAUUCAUCAAUACUUCGGCUGCACAUAAAAGGAAAAAGAGAAACGUGGAGAUUCACGUGAAACCUUUUUUGGUAGUCACUUAUUUGACCAAAAAGACUUACUAAACGCCAAAAACUUUUUUUUUCCUUACACCAGGCAGAUCACUCGAGAAUUUUUGACAAGAUCAUGCUUCAAGCUAAACAUAAUCAUCAAGAUCCAAGUAAGAUUCACCAACCGACUUAAACAUGGCUACUUUGAAACGAAAAGUUAAAUCUCAUUCUGUCAAAGAGAAAGCGGCCCUCAUGCAUUAAACUGGUCACUGCAAAAAUCUACGACCCUGACUGCUAGCGACAUCGGUUUCUGUCGUCCUAUAGACUAAUAAAAGUUUAAUAGGCUUCUUCGUCAUCAUAAUCCUUAAGACCACUUUCCAUUUCUCACGAUAUGAUCUCCUCUGCUUCGAAUGAAAAGCCCUUCAGAAUGUGUAAUGCUGCUGAAUGGAAUCGAUGUCCAGGCCUUUGAGCUUGACCACGGAUUCAACAUGGCCCUUCAGAGUGUGUAGCUCGCGAAGCCUGCAACAACAGAUUCACUUUGUCUUACCAUCACAUGUAGGACUUAAACAGUGAAAAGGAAUUGCUAGCAGCGAAUGGUUUAAACUCUGUUUCGAGAGAGUAAGGCGCCUAAACUCAGUUAAAUACAGCACGGCCUUUGAACUUCAGUUAUUAGGCAAGCAAACAGGUACGGAAGCGAAGAAGGUGAAACUAUGUUUUUUUUUUUGGUGAAAAGAAGGUGGAACUAUGUUUUUCAGUAAAUAACACCAUUUUCUUACGAGCGUUGAAGUAUGAAAAUCCAGGUGCUCACCUCGCAACCUCAGCUCGUCGCUUGGCUUGCUCUGCAAUCUCUGAAAGCUCCCUAUAGCUACUCUUGUUAGAAAAUAGGUUGCUGGUUUUAGGAGGCCAAAGGCCGUGCAGAGUCCUCUUGCAUGUUAAACUUAUGACUCGAAUUUGAGAUUCACUGGACUCGCGACGGAUUUACUAGAGAGGAAAUAAAGUUGAAAAAGGAAUUUGGCCGUGGGCCCAAGUGGGCACACGUAUAAGAAGCGAAUUUCCUCAUGGAGUCUGCACGUGAAGAGAAAGUUGGUGGCACUAAAUAGGACACAUAUAGCCCUAAUUCCCAAGAUACCUCAUUCAGAACGAAUUGACCAAUAUCACCCUAUUAGCCUUUGCAACUUCUCAUAUAAAAUAAUAUCGAAGGUUUUGGCAAAUAGACUUAAACGUUGGCUGCCUAUGCUGAUUUCAGGGGGACAAAGUGCUUUUGUUAGUGGGAGACAAAUUCAAGACAACAUUUAUAUUGUGUAGGAGGUGCUUCAUCAAUUGAGGAUGAGAAAACAGAAGAAACAUUUUCAAGCUAUGCUGAAGUUAGACAUGCAAAAGGCCUACGAUCACAUUGAAUGGGAUUUCCUGGAAGGAUGCUUGUUGAAAAUGGGUUUUUGUGCAAAAUGGGUCAAUUGGAUAAUGCAAUGUGUCAUUACAGUUACCUUCAGCAUCAAAUUGAAUGGUGAACCUCUUCCUUUUUUCAACCCUACCGGAGGUAUAAGGCAAUGGGACCCCUUAUCACCCUAUCUCUUCAUUUUGAUGGAAAAUAGUUUAUCUUCUUUGAUGGGAAAAGCUCUUCAGGAUGGAAGUAUAAAGGGGAUUAGGCUGAAUCGAUUAUGUCCUACUUUGACUCACCUUUUAUUUGCAUAUGAUUCUAUAUUCUUUUUGAAUGGAUCCAUAAAGGAAUGUCAAAAUGUUGCGUCAAUUCUAAACCAGUAUUGUUAUGCAUCGGGACAAGCUGUAAUCCUGAACAAGUCUGGUAUUUUCUUUAGUAGAGACUGUCCCCAACUAUUAAGGGAUAACAUGAAAAGGGAGUUGAGGGUUCCUAAGCUUGAUCGGACUGGCAAAUACCUUGGGAUCCCUUAUGAUAGGGGAACAUAAAAAAAAAAAAAAACAGGUGUUUGCUUGGAUUUUAAAUAGGGUAAAUAUGAAAUUGGAAGGCUGGAAUGAGCAAAUUAUGUCAAAAGCAGGUAAGGAAAUCCUCCUGAAAUCAGUGGUGCAGGCAUUACCUUAAUAUGCCAUGUCAGUUUUCAAAAUUCAAGUUUCAGUUUGUAAGGCUAUAGAGAGGAAAAUAGCCAACUUUUGGUGGAAAAACAGCGAGACAAGAGCUGGUUUGCAUUGGAAGAGAUGGGAUAUCAUGAAAAACAGAAAAGACAAGGGAGGUAUGGGAUUUAGAGACUUAACUACUGUAAACAAAGCCCUUUUGGGUAAGCAAGUGUGGCGGUUGGUUAAAAAUCUGGUUGCCUUGUGGAGCAAACUGUUAAAAGGGCUUUACUUCCAUCACAAAGACUUCUGGCAUGCUAAUCAAGGCACUAAGCCGUCAUGGGGCUGGAAAAGUUUACUAUCGGGAAGGGAGGCCAUAAUGGAUUCAGUGAGAUGGUCGAUCGGAAAUGGGCAAAACGUUAACAUUAGAACAGAUAAAUGGCUGAAGAGGUGACUAAUAGGAGGACCAGAAUCGAAAUGACCCACAAAAAGUCUGUGAGCUGAUGGAUUUUGAAACAGAACAGUGGAAUGCAUCACUCUUGCACAACCUCUUUGAUGAACAAACAACUCAGGAGAUUCUUGCCAUUCCAAUUAACCGUCAAAUUUCAAAAGAUGAACUGAUAUGGACAGGAUCUAAGGACGGGGCAUUUAUAGUCAAAAGUGGUUAUAAUACAUUAAGAGAACGAGAAACGGCAUCCUCUGCAAAGGAAAACCCAUCUUCAUCCCAUCAAACACCAAGAAAGCUAUGGAAUGCUAUAUGGAAGAUGCAAACUAGUCCUAAAGUCAGGAUUUUCAUUUGGAAUGUUUGUCAAAAUGCCGUCCCAUCCAAGGAGAAUCUAUGGAAACGAAAGAUUUUACCUGAUCUGAUUUGCGAUCUUUGCCGAGAGAGUAUGGAAACGGUCGAGCACCUCCAUCUUCUUUGUCCCUGGACAACAUGGGUAUGGAGCCACACGGAAAUCAACCUACAAGUGAUCGGCCAAGAGGUCACACGAAUUGAUGUAUGGCUAGCGAAGUUUAUCAACAACGACUCGAACCUACCUUCUCUGGAAAUGAUUUCAAAUAUCCUAUGGCAGGUGUGGAAGGAGCGCAACAACUGCAUAUUCGGGGAACCAAGCCAGAUGCCUGUAAAGUAGUAGAUCUGGCCCGAUUUCAGCAAAAAAGUCAAAAAAAAAAUGGGGUUUCGGGCAUGUGCAAGCAAGAACAGAAGAGGAAAACGAAAUAUCUCCAACUUGGAUAGCUCCGGUAGCUGGUUCUUUGAAGAUAAACGUGGACGGAUCCAUCCGUGAGGGGUCAACGGAAGGUGCCGUGGCUGGUGUAGUUCGAGAUUUCUCUGAUAGCCUCGUGGAUGGCUUCGCGAAGCAGGUUCGGGCAGUGUCAAGCCUUCACAUUGAAACCCUAGCUGUGCUUGAAGCCUUGGAGUAUAUAAAGCAGAAAAAGAUAGCAGAAGCUUCAGUUGAAACCGAUUGCAGAGGGCUCGUGCAAUCCCUAAAGUACAAGAAAGACUUUACCUGGGAAACACGUGCGAGCUGGACAAAGUGCCUUGAACUUCUGCAGCAACUUCCGAACAUGGAUCUGCGCUAUUGUUCGCGGGCCGCAAACACAGCUGCGGAUUGGGCUGCGCAACAAAAAAGAAGUAAAAGCCUCCCUUGCAACUGGACGUUUUCUCCCCCUCAAGGCCUAUGGGCCAUAUUAUGUAAUGAUGCGUCAAUUGUGGGGCUGAGACCAGCUAUAAUAUAAAUAAAAUAGCACUUUUUGACCCAAAAAGAGAGAGGAAGUUGGUGGGGCCCAAGGUCGCGCACACACUCCACGUCGAUGGCUGAAUUCCACUGCACCUUGGCGUGAAGUCUUCUGCUUGUGUAAGAAUCCAAAUAUGGUAGUGGGCCGAGGUCAAACUUUGACCUGGACACACAUAUAAAAACUGAUAUAAUUUCCUUCUUUGGGUUUUUGGCGUGAGUGGCAGAAAGAAACCCUACAUAGAAGAAGUGAGCGUGAAGCCGCACGUCCACCGAGCUAGAUUCCGCACGAAGCUUUGAAAAAAUAUAGAGUGUAUUGUUUUGAGUUUGAAUGUGCAGUAAUUUUGUGCGGUGAGUUGGGUUUGGGGUUAAAUUGGGGUUUAGGAAACACCGAGAAAGUGUUUGAGUGACUUGAGUGUAUAAUAUCCUUAUAUCGCUUGAUCUAUAGUAAAAUUCGCUAUUGCUCUUCUUGUGGACGUAGGUCAUUUAAAUCUAGUGUCCAAUUUAUUUUCUUCUUUUGUCUAUAUUAUUGUUCCAUCGCUCGCUUAUCGCAAUAGUGCAGUUGCCCACUGAGCUCUUCUUUGCCAUAGUCUUUUUUACAAGUAAAGGCAGUCUGCGUGAUAAAAUUGUCCAAAAUUAACAGAAUGCGGAGUUUUUCAUAAUACAUAAUCCGUGGCGGUGCCUCUUUCUCCGUGGAAAUACCUUGUUCUCCAAAAGAGAAUUCAUGCUCUCCCGCUCAUAAGGUAGCAGAUCGCAAACUUAAGAGUAUCAAGCGGAACAGAUGUCACCAAGCUGUAAAGCCAGAUGACACUGGCCCAACCCCGUCCAGUUCCUUUUAUCCUCGUGAAACCACAAUUUGCCUAAAACCGCUACAAUUGUUGCAACCUGUCCAUAAAAUAUUUUGCGUCAGGGAAGCAUUUUGUUGAAUGGUGAUUAAGUUAUUGCUGUCCAAACUUUUCUGAGGACUUUUAACCACCAUCAAUGAAAGCUAAUAAAUCUGUGGUUCUCACUUCAACCGGACUCCAAUCAAAUUAGUGAGUAGAAGGUUCUGCAGUAGACUUAUGAAGCCAGUAGAAAGUGAACAGACUAUGACCACCGAAAAAUUCGUACCAGCUGAGCAACUACGAAUGCGCUGACCUUGAAAAGUCCCAGGCGUUCAACAUAGGAUUGGCUGCUUAUUCAUGUGACAAAGAUUAAAGCGUGGCUAACUAUACCCACUCACAAGUAUAGGGCCAUCAUUUCAUCAGGGUUAUAUCUGAUUGAUUUAACACUGAAAUUCUCCUUCACCAUAGAAUAAGGUGGCGAUGUUUAAUUACUUCUCAUUCCAAUAAUUCAACAAAAGAUAUACACGAGAGACAGAAGUAGAAGACCGCACUAGAAACAGAUUCUUACUGAGAAGUCUGCAUCAUUUAUGGCUCAAAAUUAGUGCCAGGUAACCUCCAAGAACAAUUCCGGGGGCAAAAUUAUCUUUCAACUUCCAGCUAUCUUGCUAGGGAGAUGGCUUCACUUAAUCUCUGGAGAUUGUCACGAUCGUUCCUAAGAUUGGUAUAAAAAACUUGUCAAACUGGUCUUUUCGGCUAUUUUGAAAACCGGGAGUACAUGAACAAAAAAAAAACCAUCAUUUCUUGUCAUUGUUUAAUAUGGCAAUGAUCAAAACCAUAAGGUACGCAAAGUCAGACUUCCAGAUCAAAGCAACGAACAUAAAGCCAAACUGCCAAAGACUGGAUGCAUGAACUUUCAUAAGGGAAUAUUUUAUUAGCUUGAGUCUACAUCUAAGGUAGGACACUUACCGCAAUACCAAUUGUAAUGGAGACGGCGUAAAGCUCAUAGUAAGCUAGGAACACAAAUAGCAAUAUGCAGAGCCUCGGUGCAUUAUCCAUUGGAAACACAAUCCAAAUACAACGUAAUCCUUCUUUCUUUGAAAUAUAGCCCAGCUGGACAGCACAGUGCUUAUAAUGACACUCAAGCCCGUUUCAAUGAGGACAAUGUCCAAGCCCUUCUAGCAGCAUCAGUGGCAUCAGCAACUGCAAUCCCAAUGUCCGCCUUCUUCAAAGCAAGGGCUUCAUUCACGCCAUCUCCAGUCAUACCAUGUAAGUGCUUCCCCUGCUGCAGCUUCUUUGCAAUUUCGUAGUUGCGUAAUGACACGCCACUCACAAUGUCAGUGAAUAAAAAUCAUGUGGAUCUCUUAAAGUAGGAUUUCACAAUUCCAUAAGGUGAACCAAGAUAGUUGCAGUUCUUGAUUGAUCUGAGUAACUAUUCAAUUGUGUCUCUGCUUGGGUUCUUUCUUGACAUGCUCACAACUAUGCCACAUGAAGGAGACGAUUAGAGCAGUAAAUUGUGUGGAAUAUGAUGGUCGGUCAAGGCCUUCUCGCCUCAGACGAAAUGUAUGCUGAGGAAUGUCUUCUCAACAGGAUGUUCCAUCUGCACGAUGAUUUCAUUUUUAGCUCACACCUCAACCACCUCCUAUGGUUCUCCAUUAAUAAUUUGAUUUUUGGCCUUUGGUCCAUGUUUAGUUGAUCAAGAGGACCAAAGUAUUAUUAAGUAUUACAGGAGAUAAUAACUUGCUAAUUAAUGGAACAAAUCUACCUUGCCUAGCAUAAAAUUGCCAUGCUUGAAUAAUCAUGACAAAAAAGAACAUGACUGUCUGAAACAGAUAAAACCGAAUCAAUAUUCUUCUGUUGGACCAAUUUCACACAAAAAAACCCCGCUAAGAAAUUAAAAUUUGCUCAGGAAUAAUUUGAAGAGAAUUUUGAGUUACAAUUCUUUUAAUAUCCUUUCUCAGAACAAGAGUGGCAGAGAAUUUUAAGUCUGCUGAAAGUACAAAGAUAAGCUGAACACUGGGAUCAAGAGUUAUAGUGAGCCCUACAGAUGAAGAAACGGAAAAGCUUGAAAGUUGUACCGUUGAAACUUGGGUCGACUGCUACAAUAUGCAAUAGCUGAAAGGAAGGGAAUAAGGCGAUACAUGAGCAAGUUAACCCCUAAAUGAAUAGGGUUGCUGCUGCUGUAAUUCCUAGUGAAAACUAUGUUUGAGUCAUUUAUUCUGAAGGAAGCAGUUCCUGAUGAGGUUAAAAGCAUCUGAGGACUGCUUGUUGUAUGCUCUUGCUCGACCAAGGCUGCUUUGAAUCCAUGAUUGAGGAUUGGCGUGCUCGAUAGUGAGUGAUUUUGCUGGUUUUUUCUUGUAUGAUUGUUUCUAUUCUAAUGUUUCUUGUGAUAAGGGUCACUGAGUCUAAGUAGCGGUGUCAAAAACCAAUUUUUUAAUUCAUAUUUACUAGAUUGAAUCGCUCGCAUGGGUUAGUCAAAAUUUAAAGAAAUGAUUUGUUUUCGACUUAAAGUUGCAAAGCCCAGUUAGAUAUAGAUUUUAAUUGGUCUGGACGAAACCCACGUGCAACCCGCCAGACAAUGCCUCCCCUUGUUUGGGGUAGGCUGAUGCAGUUCGGGCUGCUGUUGAAGCUCACAAAUUCAGUUGUACUUGCAGAUUCGGACAAUAGCGAAUAGCGAUCAUGCAAAUCACAUAGUCGGUGGAUCUCACAGAGCGGGCACCAAGAAAUUAUCAAACUCUUCCAAGAAUCCAAUCUAUCAAGUCCUAGUUUCAACUAGAUUUUAGCGAACUCCAGACGAUUAAAUCUGAAAGAUCUAGCCUCUCAAUGGACUUGCAUCCAGGGCCAUGAAUUCUCACUAGAUUUUGCAAUUUCUGUAGCAGUCAAAGGCUUCAUAAACUUCGUCAGGCCUUUUAACGUACUUGCACCGAGAGGUAUCUAACUCUUCUAAGAACCGGGAUCAGAUUGUGACCAGACAAUGACAACCGACAGCAUCCAAAAGCUUCAUAUGAUUACCACGGCCUCCAAUUUCAACUAGUUGAUCAUCAAAUAGUUUCAAAUGAGUUAAUUGCAGGAGGUCCGGAAUUCGAGGGAUAUGCACUGACAGACAUCCGAUAAGUCCAAUGUACCAAGCCCUUAAAUUUCAUAUAGGCUUUCGCAUUCCCAAACCAUCACUUUAGACAUUUUGAUCGAGAAAGGUCCAACCGUCCAAGGGACUUGCACAAUAAGAAAUCCAAUACUUACAAAAACUCCAUUUUAUCAAAACCUUAAAUUUCUAGUAAAUUUUAACUUUCUUUAACAACUCUAAUCCAACAAUUGCUUGAAUUUUAACUAGAUUUUCGUGAUUUGCAAUAGUCAAUCACCUCAUACCAUUGAUUUGUGGGAUCUCUAGUCUUUUGAUGGAUAUGCAAGAAAAUAUCCAACUCUUCCAAGAACCCGGACUUAUCAUGGCCUUGAAUUUCAACAAGAUUUGCACAAGAUCAUGCCUUCAAAAGCUUCAUAUGAUCUAAUUGUGAAAGAUCCUGCCUUUCGAUAGACUUACAUUAUAACACAUUUAAAGUUUCCAAGAACCCAAGAUGGCCUUGCAUUUCGGCAAGAUUUUCCCAAGAAGAAGCUUUUAACUAUUUAAAUGAUAAAAUUGUGAAAGGUCCAACCUUUUUUUCUUUAUGGAUUUGUAUUAGGAAAUAUCUGACUCUUUCAAGAACCUGUGAAGGCCUUGAAUUUCAACUAGAUUUUCGUGACGACUAGCAUUUACUUUUUGCAAAAUGUUUCCAUUGAUAAAGAUCCAUCAUUUCCAUGGAAUUGCAUGAGUCAAUGCUCAACUUGUACAAGACUUGAAUCUAUCAAGACCUCAACAACACCAUUGUUUUUUGUUUUUAAAAUUUCGAUGUAGCUUUCAUUCCCUCCAAAUAUGCAAGGUCAUCAAGACCAGGCGAACUUGUACCCCCUGCUCCGUUCAAUAUUGUCGUUUCAUAUAUUUCAUAUUUUUACAUGGGGAAUCAAGAAAUGCCUUUAAAUUUUGACUAAAAUUUAAUUGUUAAUUGACUAAAAACAAACCCUGAGUCGUCGCCUUCUUGUUGUCCUCCGUGUAUGCACCGUAGUGACCUUAACGCAUAUAAUUGAUGUAAUGUAAUUGUUAAUUGACGUGAGAAGUAAUGGAAGUGGACCCAUAUAAUUGAUGUUAUAUAACUGUUAGUUGAGGUUGACUUAGAAAAUUGCUGAGCUGUUCCCUUCUAGCUCUAGGCAUUUUGCGGUGAAUGUCCCAUCCAGUCGCAGCUCCGAGUGGACCUUUACCUUUCACUUCUAGUAGAAGUCUUCCUCUGCGCGGGCGAGGUCGUUGCCUUUCAGGCAUUAUCCGGUGGCGAUUCUAUUUUGGCUUCGAAUGGAGUUGACGCACAUGAGCUCCUUUUAUUGUCAUUUAUGCACAUGCAAGUUGGUUAGAACGUGCUGUGCAUAGAAGGAUCGGUUGACUUUAUAUUGUUGUCCCCUUUGGCCACAACAUUAAUAAUGUAUCUACUAGGAAGGGAAAAAGAAAGGAACGACAGGACGUAAUAGCUAUGUUUCCCCUAUAAUUAAAUUACCAUUAUACUGGUAAAAUAGAUUUUAGGAGAUAAUAAUUUUAGAAGUAUACUUGAUUAUCAUAAGAAUAAGAGAUUUUGUUAAUAUUGAAAUGUAAGGACAUGGGGGAUACCACUAUAUAAUAUUGUUUGCUUUGGACUUUUGGCCCUAACUGCUUUAAAACGCGUUACACAGAAUACAUAAUCCAAACCUUAUCAACUAAUCUAAAACUCUCUCCGAGGCGAUGUGAGAUAGAAGGCAUGCAUUUAGCCUCACCCACGUACUGCCAAGGCAUUGCACUAGACUGUCCUUCCAUAUUCCCGAAUUUGGUUGUCACAUUCUCUACCUCUUAAGACACAACGCCCUCAUUGUGACCCCACACACUAUCGAGAGUCAACUCUAAUACUACUUCCAGGAUCUAGGUCGUCACAAUAUAUAUAUAUAUAUAUAUAUAUAUAUAUAUAUGUAUGUAUAUGUAUAUAUGUCUCUUGAAUUAACCAAGAAAACUUUUACGUUCAAUUGAAUUAAAAAUAAAAGAAACUUUUUUUCAAAAGAAUAGAAAGAUAAAUGUCACUUAUGAAGAGUAUCACAUGUCAGCCAUUCAUUGAAAGUACUUUAGUGCAGUACUUUACACUUAACAAAUAAGAUAAUUUAGUAUAUGUGAUUUAGAUCGAUAAUGAGACAUAUUUGUUUUUAUAAGCUUAACUUGAGCUCUAAGAAAUUAUGCUUUCUUUUUUUGAUCAAGCACAUAAAAAAUUUGCUUUUUAAUAACUUAUGAACUUUGAUAAAGAAAAUAACAAUAAAUGUUCAUGUUGUUACUCAUUUUCUUUAACUUUCGGUCUUACUAUAUGUUAAAUUAGAAAACUUAUUGGUAUUGAUAUAUCUAAAGGCAAGUCUAACGGUGGUUAGUUUUGUCUUGUGGCUGAAAAUUUGGAAUCUUUUACGAAACAUUUGUCCCACGAGUGAAAGCUGGGGGCCUUUCGGGGCAAACGCCAGUGGCAUUAAAAUCAUCUUUUAUUUUUCGAGGAAAAUAUUAUAUUGACAAUAAAAGAAGCAUCUGUUCACAAUUUUUUUAAAAAUAUCUAUUUUAAUAAGAUACGUUGUUUUAAUGUAUUGUCUUUAUUUUCAGUUUAUACUAUAUUUUUCCCAUAAAUAUAAGGAAGAAUACUAAGUACAUUUGUUCAAGUAAUUAAAUAAGCCAUAAUAUUCAAUUGUUAGAGCUGCAGAUUUUUCAUCCAUUGUUUGAUGUAUGUGCAAAUUUUCCACCCAAUGAACUUUUCGUGUUGUUUUCUUUUUCUUUUUUCUUUUUCCAAGUCUGUGUUUUAGGAUAUGAUAAGGGAAAGGAUUUCACUUACCAUCAAAUUAAUGAGAAUGCAUAAAAUCAUCCUCCCAAUAAGAAUAUUUUUUCGACCAAAAGAAAAUAUUUUACUGUCAAUCUAUGGAUUAAGGUAAUUUGACUUUUAAUUUUUCUAACUAAUUAUUCUAAGGACCGACAUUAGCUUUUUAUCCUUCUGAUACUAAUAUUCCAAGUGUCAAUUUGGAGUGUGAUGAAUAGAGUAAUACGAAUAUCUAUAGCAAAAUUUUAGAUUAUUCCAUGGGGCUGAUGGAUUUUUCAACCACCAAGCCAUUGUCAAGACAAAUAAUUUUAAGAAAAAUCCAGAUGAGUGUUUUCUAAAUUCAUGUUGCUUUUGGCCAUAUUUGCUUUUGGAGGCUCUUACAGUGCAUAUUUUCAUGUCUCACAUUCGCCUUAAAGGUCAUCCAUUUUGUGCGUUCUAUUUCAGGGCAGAAAAUGGAAAAGUCGUCAUCUUAAAUGCCAUUUCAGAUAGCAUACCAAUACAUUUUAAAAGGAUGAACAGACAAAAACUUCUUAUCUAUAAAAGAACGGAAAACCUGGAAAAAAGGUGACCCUUCUGCUUCUUCUCGAGUAUUAUAAAAAAGCAUUCCCAUCUCCCAUGAAGGAGUUGCAAUCUCGCUAAAGGAGUUAAGGUUUACUCCGGCCUUUUGAAGAUGUGAUGGUUGUAAAUAUAAUGACUGUGAUAAAAAGAGCUUGUAAAAGUAUUGUUAUAAUAUAAAUUAGUAUGUCAUGCUUGAUGUACGCCCCAGUCUUCCGGCUGUUAUUUGUUCAAGGAGUUGUUUAUUCACAUUUCUGCGUGUGCAUAAUAACAACAUAAAAAAAAAAAAAAAUUGGGACAGCAAUGAGCCUGUGAUGUCGCAAAAAUAACCUCUGUUGCUCGUGACCUUGGAGGUGGAGUUAGGGUCAUGACAACAUGGUAGUUAACAGGUGUACCAUUUUAGGUUUUAUUAAUUUAUAGUUUUCGUAAAAUUAAUAUAAUUUAACAAAAACUAAUUGAGGGCAAAUAUGUCAUUUAUGUAUCAGUUUGAGAUUUUUAGUGGUCAAAAAAUUAGUUUAGAAUAAAUUUAUUACAGAUAUGUAUCAAUUUGAGAUUUAUAAUGAUCAAAAAAUUAGUUUGUAAUAAAAUUGUCAUAGGUAUGUCAGUUUAUGGUUUUUUUAUAGUAUCAACCCUCAAUUAAAAAUGUUUUACAAUUAUGCUUAUUGUUCAUCAAUCUAAAAAUACGACAAUAACAAUCAUUCUAUAAUAAAACAGUGGUUUUUACAACAUAAUCAGUGGUAUUUUUAAUUAUUCUCAUGACUUUUGAUAAGUUAACUGUGAUUUUAGGAUAAUUUUUUUCUAAAUGAAUUAUAAUGUGUAUUUGUAUAUUGUAUUAAAUUCAUUGGCAUCAAUAUCCCAUUCCACUUUCACAAUACAUUUCUCGUAACAAAGCAAAAGAACCUUCAUUGUAUCCAUCCCGUAAACUUGCUAAAUAGAAAGUUAUAUCAUUCCAUUUUCAUUGUACCGGACACAAAUUUAGUGGAAGUUGAAUAGGUUGUGGCUGAUUGGUGUUGCUUUGGCUUCGAACUUUGAAACUUUUACAUGGAUAUCCAUUUGGUUUUUUGGUAGGAUGCCACAGAUUAUAGAUCACGUGUGCAUUGUGCGUCUCCAGAUCAAUUCGGAAAAGAAAAAAGAAUUUAGUUUGCAAGGAAAAGUUUAAGGAUCCCAACAUACAUUUUGCGAAAGCUUCAAGUUUAUUGAUGUUUAUAUAUAUAUACACAAUAUACCUGUCUUACAGCACUACUAACAACCGGGAGUACCAAGUUAGCCUACGGCUGUGAGCAGUAUUGUAAGGUGUGCUGUCACGCCCCGAUCCUCGGUCAUGCACACAUCUUUCCACUUGGUCGAUUUUAAAAUGCAAUAUCCUAGGACUAUGUAUCGCCGACCCUUUCAUUUUUUAUAGCACAUACGGAAGCAGUUAUAAAUCUCCAGACAAUAAAACGAUGGGAUAGAAUAGUAAGGCCAUAUUUUUUAUAUUGAAAUACAUAACCAUACUUUUAUACAGAGUAUAACUCAAAGUCUAUUCACAAGACUAUUCAUAACAUUCUAGUCACACUCUAUAUACACAACACAAGGUUCACAAAAGAGGAUGGGAUCUCAGUCCUCAUCCGGGUUGUACUCAGGAUCAUCCUGAUCCUCUUCUGACUCUUCUUCACUAAGCUCACAUCCUUCAAGCUCUUCAUCUUUUUUUUGGCUCAUCGUCCUCUUAUGAUUCCUCCUCCACAGGCUCAUCUACGGGUCUGAAAUAUUGUCCCAUAAUCAAGAUGAGACUACGUCUCAACAAGUUCUACUCCACUAUGACUCGAUUAGGAAACCAAUACGCUAACCGGGCUGCCUAUGCACACACAAGUCAGAGGACUUACCUUGGCCUCAAAUUUCAACUGUAUAUUAGUACAGUUCAAUAGGCACCAAAGCAAUCAUAUUAUAGAUCGAUAUCUCGAUCAAUCAACUUAGUCGAUUUCAUGUCAAUCGAACUAUUCAUCGGUCAUUUCACUUUAAUCAAUCAAUUCACGAUAAACGAAUCAAAUCAAUCGGCCCGAAAAAUGGUCUGCAAGCUUGCUGCUCAAGCUGAAAAAAAAAAAAAAUCAGAAGCUGCUGGGUUUUCCCCCGGUUGAUGGGCUGAACGGACGAACGGCAGCAGCCUCGAACGAAGGAGAGAAGCCGCGCGAGUUUCGAUCAAACCAGCGGCUUUGGUGAAGAUUAAAGUUGACUGAAGAAGCUUGAACGGUUCGCUUCUGUGAUGCUGCAGACUUCGGGCGGAAUAAAAAAAAGAACGAAGGCAAUGCAAAGACAGGCUCCGAGACGUGCAGAGGAAGAGAGAAAGUGGAUGAAAGUUUCGGUCAAAGAAAAGCAAAAGAAAGAGAUAAGCUUGGACUAAAAUCAAAGCAAUCAGAGAGGUGGGAAAAUGGGAUACGGCAGGGGGAAAAUUGCACGAGGAGAGAGAGAGAGAGAGAGUAUUCGUGCGGGUGAGUGGGGGUGUCGGCCAAGUGGGGUAUGGGGAAAAGAAAAAAAGGAAAUUCAAGGAAAUUAAAAGAAAUUAUCCUAAAAAAUCAAUAAUUCUUGUCCCAUAUGCUUCUGUUUAGUCCAAUUUAAUCCCUGAAAAUUUCCAGACUAAGGUACUUGAUCCCCACUUGCUUUCUUGCAUAACAUUUCUCUCGACAAUGAAUCUCGGGCAACAAAAACGGCAAUUUUCUUCAAUUCCGAAUUUUAAUUCAUUUUUCUUCGAAAUCCGAUUUUCUGAAUAAAUAAAUUCAGUUGAGGUCCCAUUUGAAUUCAAAAAAAGUCCAAACAACUUCCAUUCACUAAUUCACUCACACCAGAUGCCAAAAAUCCAUUCAAAAUGGCCAAUCCGAAUUUCCGUUAGAUUUCCGAAUUGUCCGCAACAAUUUUCCCAAAAAAAAUCCUGGACUCUCUGAAAAAUCUUCUGAGACUGAGUUGACGUUCCUAGAAUUUAUUGUGACAUGAAAGAAUCUUCAAUAUCUGAAGUCGGACUCAAAUUUACGGUUAAUUACCAUUUGGCGCACUUUUAGUGUAACCUAAGCUAUUGGGUAGUUUUCGGAACUUUUUAAGGCAAAUGACCCGUGGUCAAUUUUCUUCGAACCACUCUGAACUCACUUGACUCAAUGGCGACUCUCGAUUAUCAUGAAAAUCUCGAUGAUUCAAUUACGGACACAUGGUACCAAAACGACAAAAAAAUCAAAUUAGUAUCGGUCGACGAGAAUUUUCAAAUUUAGUGGAGUCACCCACGAUUGACCAUACAUCUCAGUCGAACGGACCUAUCUCUAAUCUCAAAUCGAUUUUAAUUAUGCCGCAAUAGCCUCUAAAAAUCAGCACAGUCGAGAAGUCGAUUCCUAGUCGAUUUCUCAAGUUUAUUGCCUUAAAAUUUGUUAAUUAUUCACCCAGACAGUCUAGUUAUCUCAAGAGUGAUCGGCUCUAAAAAUAGCCCUAUAAACGCGUCAACGAAAUGCCCGAUUAAUUCAGUAGAAAACAUGUUGAAAAAUCUGGAUGUUACACGUGCUAACUCAGUAGUGAGCAUUUUACCCACCCUCACUUACCCCAAGUGCAUGAUGCUACUAUACCUGUCUACCCGGCAGUAGUCAGGACUAUUAUUUUGAUGUGCACCACCGUGAGGCCUCCUAAUUUUCUGUCUAUUUUUGUCUUCCCAAUAGAGAAGGAAUAUGAGAGUGACCGCCGAACUGUUGUCCUAACGUAGUGUCUGUCUUUAUCACCGUGAGGCCCCAUAAUUCCUUAUCUAUUUUUAUCUUUCCGAUAGAGAGGAAAUACGGGAGUAACAUUGUGGGAUCUUCCGCCUCUGAACGGUUCUCCCACCUAUUUCUUCUACUUUAGUCUUUUAGGGACCUAUUCAGAUCCAAUAAACCUAAAUUUUGCGGAAGUUUCAAGUAUAUUGGUGUUCAUAUAUAUAUAUACUGUAUACCCGUUGACAGUGGUCGGCAGGUUAAAAAGGUCACUAUGCAUGGAUGAAAAGAAAAUUUUUGAAAAAAAGAGUCUAAAAAAGCUUUGCAAAAGGAGAGAGCACGCGCGAUGUGCUCUGCCUUUCCAAACAAACAGCGUCACAAAAGGGAAGGGAGAGGAGGGAAAAUAUUGGCUGCACCUGUGAUUGACAACUCAGUAAAAUAAUAAUUCAUUUAUUGAUUGACACGUGUCCUGUGGCUCCCCACUGUCAGAUUUGUCAUAAAUCUCUCACUUGCCUUCCUCCCUCCCCCCCCCCCCCCCCCCCUCUCUCUCUCUGUUCACGGUCUCUCUCUCCGACGGGGCAAUCUCUCUCUUCCUCCCGACGCAGCAAGCUCUCUCUCACUUGCCUUAAUCCCUCUUUCUUCUUCCUCCGUCUCAUCUUUGCUCCGAUCACCCCUAUAAAUUAUAACCAUUCCUAGCGGCUUUAAUUUGCAGUGACAGUUCUACCUGUCCAGUAACUUUCGGCUUCGUAGAGCUCAGAGGCCUGCUUUUGCUGAACUGGAGCGACUCUGGUUCUUCAUUUUCUCUGCAAUAGGUCACGAUGCAAGGGUGCUACUUUGAAGUGUUCUUGAGCUUCAGAGGAAGGGACACACGCGUAGGCUUCACCAAUUUUCUCUAUACCUGUCUCGUAGAUGCAGGAGUCCGUGCAUUCAAAUAUGAUCAAGAUCUCCGCAUUGGUGAAGACUUCAGCCCGGAGCUAAUCCAAGCGAUUAUGCAAUCAAUGAUCUCCAUACCCAUCCUCUCUAAAGGUUAUGCUUCCAGUGUAUGGUGUCUUAAGGAGUUGACCAAAAUGCUGGAGUGCAGGAAAAGGAAGGGACAGAUAAUCAUGCCCAUCUUUUACGAUGUCAAACCAUCCGAGGUUCGAGACCAAACCGGAUGUUAUGGCGAGGCCUUUCUUUCUCACCAAAACAAGCGGCGAUACACCGAUGAGACCAUCCGCAAGUGGAGAGCUGCUCUCCACGAGGUUGGAAGUUUGCAGGGAUUCGACCUCACAGCUAACAGGUACCAAAUUCUCUUCCACCCUUGACGAACUCCAUAAUACAGGAGACCAUGAAAUUUAAGUACAAACCUUUGCAUCUCAUCAUAACGUGCUUUGUCUGGGUCGAUUUAGUAAAAAUUUGUACCACUAAUUGCGUGGCCUGUUUGUAUAAAGCUGAUUGCUGUGUGAUAGUUUUCGAAAGGAGUGCGUUGACUUUUUAAUGCAAGCUACUCUAGAGUUCUUUUUUUUUUUUUUUUUUGGAAACAAGCUACUCUAGAGUUCAGACUUUAUUGGACUUGCUUUAAUUCCUGUGCAUGUGUCACGCGUGCAUUGAUGCAGCCACGAAGGUUCACUCGUCGAGGAAAUUGUCGCAAAUGUGUUGAAGGUAUUGAAGAGAUACUUUGUUGGAAUCGAGCAUCAUGUGGAGGGAGUUAUGAAAUUAUUAAAUGUGGAAUCUAGCGAUGCUCGUGUAGUUGUAAUACAUGGCAUAGGGGCACCGGAAAGACAACAAUUGCAAAGCUCGUCUACAAAAGAAUGUUUCGUCUCUUUGAUGGCUGUAGCUUUCUGGAAAGCAUUAGAGAAAAUGAAUAAAGACAAAUAGGUUUAACAGUUUUGCAAUGUCAGUUGAUUUCUGACCUUUUGGGUGCCACACAUAGACAAAUUAAUUCUUUUGAAGAGGCGACUAAGCUUAUUAGAGCCAACAAGAAAUUUCUCAUUGUUCUUGAUGAUGUUGGCACAAGCUUUCAACUUGAACAAAUUCUAGAAAUCGUGAUUGGUUAGGCUCUAGAAGCAGAAUCAUAAUUACCACUAGAGACGAACAAGCUUUAGAUAAAUUUGAAGUGUCCCUGAAAUAUGAGGUCGGGGGAAUGCGAGAAGAGGAAGUCGAUGAACUAUUCCGCGCUCAUGCCUUCAGGGAGAGACCUGCUCCAGCCAACUUAGCUACUUUGUCCAAAAACAUAGUAUCAACUAUUGGCCGGCUUCCUUUGACUAUCGAGGUUGUUGGGUCGUAUCUAUAUUCUAAAAGCAAGGACGUGUGGAAGCAAACAUUAAACGAAUUGAGAAAAGUACCUGAGCCACAAGUUCAACAGAAAUUGAUGGUAAUCAUCAAAGCAUUACCUAACGAGCAAAGACUGAUAUUUCUAGGCAUUGCUUGUUUCUUCAUUGGAGAGGACGAAAGUGUUGCGUGCUACCUGUGGUCUGACCGUGAUUCUGCAAGUGGAUCGGUAUUAGAAGCGCUUGUCAACUCGUCUAUUGUUAAGAUUGAGAACGAUAAGUUAUGGAUGCAUGAUCAACUUCGAGACCUAGGUAGGGAUAUUGUCCUACAAGAACAUCCUCAACCUGGAGAGCGCAGUAGAUUGUGGAGUCACAAGCAAGCUUGGGAUGUGCUGGUGAAUAAAAAAGUAAGAUACAAGUUCAUCACUGUUUUUACCUUACAAUUGUAUGCCUUACUACUCAUGUUCCUCUUUUCAUAGAAAGAAAACUAUUUAGGGUGCGUAUGUUUCGCGAAAAAAAUAACUUGAAAAAUAUUUUUCUAAAAAUGAUCAUUUAUAAUUUUGAAAAAUAAUUAGUUAAUGAAUUUUUUUCAUUAUUGAUAACAAUUUAUAUCUAUUUAUUUUCGUGAAUAAUGUAAAUAUUUGUUGUUUAUUCGUUUUUGUAAGAGAUGAAAAUGAUCAUUUUUAAGAAAAUUUUUUUCAAAUCAUUUUUUUUUCGUGAAAUGAAUUGAUCCUUAACAAAAUGAUUUCUUUAGUUUGAAGUCUCUAAGCAUUUAUCAUCAUAUUUUUGUGCGGCAAUGCCCAGUCCCGUGGUAAUCCAAAUCUUGUAUUCCACGUGUAGGGAACGGAAAGUGUUGAAGGAGUUCUUCUCAAAUUUGGUAGUGGGUCACAAUACAGUUUUGGACAAGCACAUUUUGCGAGCACAUCGAACAUAAGAUUCCUUCAAUUGGAUCAAGCGAACCUCCAAGGAAAUUUUGAGCGGCGUCUGUCGAGUUUAAGAUGGCUUUAUUGGCAAGGUUGUCCUCGGCAUCUUCUUGCUAAAAAAUUGGAUUUGAAGGAGUUGGUUAUUCUAGAUCUUUCCUGGAGCAAGGUCAAUGAAAAAUGGAAUGGUUGGAGUGAAAUCAAGGUAGAGAAGCACAUUAUUGUUAAUUUCAUUUGUCAAAUUGUUGUGGAAAAGUUGACUCUUUUGUUAUUCUAUUUUCUGACAGAAAGCCGAGAAAUUGAGAGUUUUGAACCUCACCGGCUGUUAUGAUGUGAUUAGAACUCUAGACUUAUCUCAUUACAAAUGUUUAGAGAGAUUGAAUCUUGAAAGUUGCAUUCGAUUGGUUGAAGUCGGUUCAUCAGUGAAAAGUCCGGAGCGAUUGGUUUCACUGAACUUGAGGUAUUGCACUGAACUCAAUAAGUUGCCUGAAGAGCUGGGUUCCCUCAUAUCCUUGGAAGAGAUUCUUAUAGAUGAAACUGCUGUUCAAGAAAUUCCUGCCUCGAUCGGUCAUUUGCAAAAGCUUAGAAGAUUCAGUGCCUGCAAGUGUGCUUCAUUGAUCCAGCUACCUGAUUCGAUUAGCCAUGUGAAAUCACUGAGAAUCCUCGCACUGAGUGGUACCAAAAUAACUAGGCUUCCCCAUUCUAUUGGAGAGUUAGAAGUGCUACAACACUUGUCAAUAAAUCAUUGUAAGUCAAUAUUAAAGUUACCAUUGUCCUUGGGGACUAUGGCUUCAUUGAUCGAACUUGAUCUUUCAAGUGUUAGGGAAAUUACUUAUGAUGUUUUGAAGAUGACAAAAUAAAUCAAAGGCUACUAACAUGUUUAAUGGUUAAGUAAUAGACCAUGCAGAUAAUAGAACAUGUAAAGGAUAUUGUCAAAGUCUGAAGACGGCCAGAAGACUGAACGUAACAUCUGUCCAAAGUAUAUUCUGAAGAUUUCCAGAUUUCUGUGUCAAAGUCUGAAGACUGUCAGACUUUAGUGUCAAAGUCUGUUCUAUAUCAGAAGUCUGCUCACUCUGACAAAUUCCAGACUGAACGUGAAGGAAGAACCAGAAGACAGACUCUAUGUUGGAGCUGAACUUAUUCAGACGGUAGUCAGACCUUAAAGCUAAAUCUGUUUAGAAGCAGAAUAUGUUCAGACUCAGAUUGCAAAGUCUAUCGCACUCAGACUCGGAUUGUAAAGUCUAUUGCUCUCAGACUUUACAUCUAGACUCAACAGAACGUAACUCAAGCCCAAUCAUAUAACGGCUAGUGAUCUGGUUUGGAUUCCACAUCAAGAUUGAUUUGAUUGACUUAAUCUAUUUGAUUGACGAUUGGAUCUUGAAGACAAGAUCUUUUUAUACGAAGAAGCUUUACUUAUGGAAACCAAGAUUCUAUUUGUAUGGGCGAUCGGAAUCAAUUUGGGAUUCUACCUUUGUCACUCAAUAGCUACCAAAUCUUCUAGAUACAGAGCUGUCCAAUGGGUAUAUUGGAAGACGAUUCUCCGGGAUACUGUCCAACGGCUAGUUUGGAAGUGGAGGAGUAUUUAAGGAGAUCAUGGACCAAUGAGCAAAAAAGAGACGGAGCGUAGAAUUUAUAAUUCCAAAGUCUGAGCGACCUUCGAUCAUACACUUGUCUUUGGAGAGCUUAAACGUUUGUGAUCGUGAGAGAAAUACCAAAGGAGUGACUUAGUGAGAUAGUGUGAUCUACUAAGUGUUUGCACUCGAAGUUGUAAUCUCUUGUUGAUUGCAUAGUGGAAUCCAGCCAAGAAGGCUGUUAGCGUGGGAGAGUGGACGUAGGCUUGGAUUAAGCCGAACCACUAUAAUUUCUGUGUUCUUAUUCUCUUCCUUAACUCCUUUGUUUGAAAUUUAUUUUAUUCCGCAUAUAUUUGCCAAUAUUUAUCUUAAACACCUAUUUACCCCCUCUAGGUGUUCAUACUAGUACUCUCAUCAAGCACUACAAUUGUCGAAUUACCUAAAACCCGUCAACAAGUUACACCUUUUAAGAGUGCUCAAAAUUGAUUUUACUUUUGUGAGAGAGCUACCUAGCGCUACGUGGACGUUGAAGAGGCUUGAAGAGCUGCACGUUUCCAAAUGUCGGAGUUUGGAUGGAGAAAUUCCUAGAGAUAUUGAGAAGCUUUCGGAAUUGAGGGUCUUGAGGCUUGGGUACUCUCGGAUUCGUGGUCUACCAGAUAACAUUUCUACGCUUACCAAUCUCCAAACACUCGAUCUGCUUCAUUGUGACAAGCUACAUAAUGUGCCCAAGCUUCCUUCCACUUUAAAAAGCCUAUCUGUUUGUUCUAAAUUUAUGGAUACAAUCCCAGACAUCAGUGAUCUGGAUAAAUUGGGGGAGUUAUUCUUGGCUGAUGGAUCCCAGGAAUUGGUGUUACCUGACCAAGGUCAAAUUGAGGUGAAAGGACGCACUUAUUUGGAGCUUGGGAGUUUGUCAGAACUAAAGAUAUUGCAGCUAUCUGUGUUAAAGAUCCGACUACUGCCUGUUAAAUUGGAUCACCUUCGUAAGCUCACGAAGCUCUCCCUUUGCUGCAUUCACUUGAAAAAGCUACCACAGCUUCCUCUAGGUUUAUUCACUCUAUCGCUUUGCCAGUACAAAUCGCGGAGAAGAUUGCCAGAUCUUUCAUAUUUGGACCUUCUAUCAGAAUUUGAGCUUUUCGACUAUGCAAUAACAAAAGUUCGAGGCCUCGGGAAGUUCAAAUCCUUACAAGUUUUCAGAAUAUCUCAUUGCAACCUGCAACAGCUGGAUGAGCUGGAGAACUUGAUAUUUUUAGCAUCAUUGAAUGUUUCCUACUGUCUAAGUCUUGAGAGACUUCCGGAUCCAUCAAAACUGAAGAAGCUGAAAGAUAUUAAAAUCAAGGGCUGUCCGAGGAUUGGUGAUAUUAAAAGUGUGGAACACCUGAAUUCCUUUGGAAAGCCAAGCAGUUCAAAAACUGAGGCGGAAACCUCAUCCGAGGUAACCAACACUACUGAUUUUCCCGCUGGAAUGCGUAAAUGGAGGAUGGCACUUGAUAAGCACGUAUCUUGUCUGGAAUUUUUACAAAGAUGAAUGGAUUGCUUAAUAAUAACAAAAACGCAUGACGCGAUGAAUUGUACAGGAUAUUUUCUCACAUUAACACAUGCGAAAUAAUUUUUCAAAUGAAAUUCAAGUCAUCAAGAUUUUAUAUUUCUUUCUUCUUUUUUAACGGGUAGAUGGGUCCAAAUAUGUAAGGACUCCACUUCUUUUUCUUCAUUUUUUUACAUUUUUUAGCAUUUAUCUGUGAUAUACAACAACAGUACUUCUAUUUGUCCCAAUUAGUUUAAUCAAGCUUUCUGGAGGUGUUGUUACCUACUCAAUCCAGAGCGUUGAACGUUGUAUUGGUGUCUUAAAUCUUUGAUGUGGUGCGUAACAGCACUGACUGCUGUACCGGAAUCUUAAAUUUCUGAUGUAGUACUUCCGUUAUGCUCAAGUUAAUUCUUACUCCAAAGUGCUGUGAAUAAAUUAUGAUGAGUGGCCCAUAGAAGGUAUUCCAUUCUCCAAACUGUUCUCUUGUAUUUUAGACUUGUUGGACGGGCUACUCUUCCAAGGACAUUAUCUGAUCAAUACAGUCAGUGAAAUCUAAAAACUCCUUUGAUCUCUUUUAGCGUUCAGUAAGUUUAAAUCUAAGCAUCGACCUCUAUAACCGUUUGACACAAGGUAGAAAUCUUAUUUGACGCACUGAAUACAUGCUUACACAAGUUUUGUCACAGGUAGAAUCUAGCGAAUUAGCUAUUCGCAAACAUUCUUCCAUUCAGGGUGUCAAACGCAAAUACAAAGGUAUGCUCUACAUUGAGAUUGUCAAAUUUGGGUUGUUCCAUAAGAUCAAAGUGUGAGGUCAACCUUGUAAUGUGGAACACUGAAAUAGGUCAUGGCUAGAAAGAUGCCAGACCAUAAGGAUAGGCAAUUAAGGGAUUAAUUCGAGCUAUGUCAUACUGUUACAACUGAUUAGACUUUUGACUAAUUUUUUGGGCCAUGUAGUAUAUCUUACACCUUAACUAUUGCUCCUCUUGCCUAGCAAGAAGUAAGUACAUAUGCUCCUUAAGAAUAUAGUCUACUAGAGCAGACAAACAUCAUCAGCCCCUUUCAUCCUCAAUUGUUUUCUGCUUGUCGGUGGAUCUGACAGGGACCGAAACUUCUGGCAUCUCUCCAACGAUGGAGCAAGGUGAUAUGCCAUUUGACAGGGCAUCAACUGUCCCUUCUCUGGCAACAAUUGUUCCUGCUUUGCCUCCUCCUGCUGCUCGACCAAAGCCAUCAUCAGCAACGGAUGAAGAUAGAGCCCCUACUGAUGCUGAGGCGGAUAUAUAUGGUGACGAUGAGGAGUCUCUUUUCUUGAAGAUUGACUCUCUGUUGAGUGGCAACUCAGGAAAGCGAAAUACUGGUGCAGGGAUGUCACAGUCAAGUCAAUCUGAUUUUCAAGCAUACCAGAAAGCAUCACAAGAGGUGGAAAAUAUAAUGAGUCAGGGGCUCCUGGCAAUUAUGUUUAAUCCCAAGCUACUUGGCCAUUUGCAAGAAUUAUUAAGCUUCUUAGUCGAACACAAGACACCAGAGGUCUCUACAUUUGGACAUGUCUAUCUCAAAUUGCAGCACUUCAUUCAGUCCGUGAGCAACUCCCUCUCUUCCCUACGAAAGAUCUUUACUGAAUGUGAGAGCUUUGAAAAAGAGUUCAAAGAGGAAAAGAAUUUUUUGGAGUAUGACAAGGAUGAAGUCCUUUUGCUCGAGCAGCAAAUUGAAGAAACAGCUAGGAGUGUGGAUGAAAAUGAGCAAUUUAUUGCCAAACUUCAUGCAGAGAUUGAGGCACGCAAGCUCCAACUUGAAAAUGCAAAGUCAGAACUGUCAUCAUUGUUGACAAAGAGAUCAGAGAAAGUUAAGGAACUGAAGAAUAAGUUCGAGCAGGUCCUUAGUAUGAAGAGUGAGAAUCCAAGCAUGGAAAAGAAGAGAAAUCAAGCUCAGGAAACAAUUGGCAAAAUCAAUGUAGAGUGGAAUGAAUUGCAUGCGGAUAUUAAAGGCCGAUUGGCCUCUAAAUAAGCUCGCACUUUUAACUUUCUCUUAUUUGAAUCUUCGUGUAUUGAACUUUUCCAUCCUAGGACAAAAACACAGGUUUUUGGAGUUUCAUUCCUACUUAUUUGUCAUUGCUGAAAACGUGAAACAAAGUCUAUUGAAACAAAGAGAACACUCUCACAAGCGACGGCACUUUGAAGGAAAACCAUUUGAGUAAAGAAUUAGUGUGCUCAUCUUGCAAACUCAGCAUGCCGCUCGGCUUGGUCUGCAAUCUCUGAAGGCUCGCUGUAACUAGUCAUGCCAUAGGAAAGAUUGCUAGUUUCAGGAGGCAGCAAGCCAUGCAGAGUCCUCUAUGCAAUGCAGUGGCGCACUGUGCUUCUCGUUCAUCUUUGCCACAGUCCUUCAUGGUAGAGAAGGCGGUCUCCGUGAAAAUAUCGGCCGAAAUUAGCAUAACGUAGAUAUCCCAUGCGUGUUCUCUCCACGUCGAAUUUCAGCAAAGUCCAGGUGUAACCAUGCACGUAAAGACGUGGCUUUGUCUAAGAUGCCUUGUUCCUUGGGGGCAACCUUAUCCACCAUCCAAGCAUGUCAAGAGAAAUUGAUAAACCUGUCGAUAGAGUUGGCAACAAUGUAUCCAAGAUAAGACUGUUGAAAAUUUCCUAUAAUAUGAGUUUACAUUAAUUAAUUGAUUUUCUAUUUUAAAUAAUCGGGUUAAUGGAUAUUCCAAUAUUUGUUGAACCCUAAAGUGAUAUGAUUGAAUUGGGUAUUGGCAUCUAUUGAUAACGGGCUUGGUUAAGCAGCAAAGUGUAGGCAAUUGUGUUUGACUAAAGCCCAUAAUGGGAAGGGCCCAGUUGACACGCUAUUGAUUAGGGUUUGCUAGGUCCCCUCUUUAGCCUAUAAAAUGAUAGGUUAUACUAUCAGUUGCUUUAAUCCUAUUGAAAGAUGCUUUAUCGAAAUAGGUCAUAGAUCUGGCAUUCUAAUAGAUCCCUAAUUAUUAGAGCGAUCUACUUUUCUGCAAGUGAAGCAAUGGCUCAAAUAAGUACGCUUUAAUUCUGUUGUAUUUAUUGAUUGGUGUUUUACAAUCAUAUAUAGAUAUGUUAUUUCCUUGAUUGAUUAGUUGUAUAUGUGAAUAAAUAUUAUACAUGUGGUAUCAGAGCCAAUCAUAUAUGAUUGUAGAACCUAAAUUUUUUUUUAUUUUUUUUUUAUGGACAAAUUCAAAAUCCUUCUCUUUGAGCCGAAUAUGGGCACUAUUUUUUAGUGUAAACUUUUUGCUUAAUUGAUUCUGAAACCAUAGGGCUUUUGUUCUACAUGUCAAGAUCUUUUCAACCAUAUAUAAUUUGCAUAAUUUCGUUGAGAAUUGAGAGAGAAUUUUAGAUUUGAAAUUUCUAGGGUUUAUACGUGAAAAAGUUCUAGAAUUUGCAAAUUACUUGCAACUGAUUGAUGUUUGUUGUAAACCGUUGUAUGGGUAUUGUUAUAUAUUUGUUUUAGUAUCCUUUUGUUGUACUAAAUUGAGUUUUUAGGGUUUAAAUUUAAGAAAACCGAAUUUUCGGCCAUGGGAGGUUUAGAUCCGAAACUUUGAAGCUUAUAUGUGGUGGAUUUAGUUGGUUUUUCUUCGUUUAGUUAAAUCUAGUUAAUUAAAUUGAUGUUAUAAGCAAAACCCAUGAGGAAAUUUCAUCAAAAACCAUGUUAAUUUGUGCCUUCAGAGCUUCGGGUCGAAACCGGGUCGUACGACCGGUUUGCUGCAAAUUCAUGACCCGACUGGAGGUUGAAGAAGACCUCCAGCCGAGCCUAGGCCUGAAUAUGGGCUUUUGCCCAUAUUUUUUUUUUUUUAAUUUCAUAGGCUAAUUUCGUAGCCCAUUUCAUGGGCCGAUUUUAAAUUAAAGGGGAGAUGGGCUUCUCCAUUACAUGGGCCAUUUACAAUUUAAAAGGAGUAGGCCGCGUGAGGGUUUAGGACUCGUGGGUCUGGCCGUCUGAGUAGGGCUGCUUGCGUGUCCUCGGCCCACGGGAGUCCGAAAUAUUUAAGUAAUAUUAUAAUAAUUUUAUAAUAAUAAUAAAUUUAAAAAAUUAAUUAAAAAAAAUUGUGGCAAAAAUUGUUGUUUGAAAAAGUGCAAUAUGAUCAUUGGAAGCACAUGUUUUAAAGUGUUUCAUAUUAUUUGAUGAAUUUUGGGCAUAAAUUUUGGAGUUCCCUAUUAAUAAAAGAUUAAUAUAUACAAUUACUUGACCAAAGGGAGUUAUUGUGUAUAUUAAUUUGGAAAAUAACAUAAAGGUUAAUUCCCAUAUUUAAAAGAUGGGGAUGUAUAAUUGAAAAAUGUUUAUCUGCCCAAAGGGGAUAAAUGUUUUGAAAAUUAUAUGUAAUUCCCCUCUGUGUUGAUAUUAUGGAGAUGUAUGAUUUAAAGGAUUUGUUUGCCCAAAGGGGAUGGAUCCUUGACAAUUAUAUGUAAUUCUCCUUAUUGUUGCUUUAUAAAUUUCAUGCUGGGAAAAAUAAUUGUGCAUUAUACACUCUGCCCAAAAGGGAGUUUAUGAUCUACUGUGACAACAUUGCAGCUGUGUUUUAUUCCAAGUAUGACAAGAUUAGUAAUGCGUCCAAACACAUGGAGAUCAAAUAUUACACUGUUAAGGAUUUGGUCAAAAAAUGAGACGUUGUAAUUGAAAAUAUCAUAAUUGAGUCCAUGUUGGUUGAUCCUCUAACAAAAGGCUUACGACUCAUUUUGUUUAAAGAACAUGUAAAGAAUAUGGGUGUUUUAAAUUCUUUUAUUUCUUUUGUUAGUGGGAGUUAUACAAAUUGUAUUUCUGGAUAUUAUAGUUAUAUGCAGACUGAUAAUGCUUUUAUGAUGUUUAUUAAAGAAUUUAUUUUAAUAAUUUUUGUUGUUGAUUCUAUUGUUAUCAUUUCUCCUAUUGACUGAGAAAUGGAAGUAGAAAACAGUAUCUUUAAAAUUUUUUAGUUUAAAGAUGAUUCGAUAUCACUGAUUAUGAGAUCUCAUGUUGUAUUGUGACAUAAUCGUGCAAUUUCAUGUUGUUUAGAAAUUGUGUUAAUGUAGUUUCAUGUUGUUGAGAAAUUGCAUUGAGGACCGAUAAGAAAUAGUGUAUAUUUUGAUCAUAUGUUGGCACUAUUUCUUACUAUACUACUAGGCCCAUGAUCCAUGAAAAUAUAAUGCUUAUUAUAUGUGAUUAUGGAAGGUCUUGUGUAAUGAUAUUUUCUUAACACAUUGAUGUCCAUAGUCCUAUACUGAGGUUAUAUAGGAUUGGAUUGGUAUUGAGAUGCCAUUAUUGGAAUAUUAUUUUUAAAAAAAGUUGUGGCCACAUAAAAUAAAAUUUUAGUUAUUAACCCGAUAGUGUCGUUUUUAUUAUAAAAUAUUUUACAAAAUAAAAUAAGUUAAUUAAUGUAGCCCAAGUGGGAGAAUGUCGGAAAUUUCCUAUAAUAUGGGCUUACAUUAAUUAAUUGAUUUUCUAUUUUAAAUAAUCGAGUUAAUGGAUAUUCCAAUAUUUGUUGAAUCCUAAAGUGAUAUGAUUGAAUUGGGUAUUGACAUCUAUUGAUAACGGGCCUGGUUAAGCAGCAAAAUGUAGGCAAUUGUGUUUGACUGAAGCCCAUAAUGGGAAGGACCCAGUUGACACGCUAUUGAUUAGGGUUUGCUAGGUCCCCUCUCUAACCUAUAAAAGUGUUAGGUUAUACCUAUCAGUUGCUUUAAUCCCAUUGAAAGUUGCUAUAUCGAAAUAGGUCAUAGAGAGGAAAAUCUUGCAUUUCGAUAGAUCCCUAAUUAUCAAAGUGAUCUAUUUUUCUGCAAGUGAAGUAAUGGCUCAAACAGGUAUGCUUUAAUUCCGCUGUAUUUAUUGAUCGGUGUUUUACAAUCAUAUAUGGAUCCGUUAUUUCCUUGAUUGAUUAGUUGUAUAUAUGAAUAAAUAUUAUACAAAGACCGCAUGGCAGGACUUGAGACAUAGCAUCUAGGUUAGGACGCAUUCCAAGUAGUUGGUAUACCUUUAGUAUGCCUAGCACUACACAAUUUAUAUUAUGGGUUAUAUUCUUGUGGGUGUGACAAAUAAUCCAAAUAAUUAUUCGAGUUGCAAAAUUCUAGGGUCAUGUAAGAUUCAAAAUUGGAAAAUUUAGGUGUUGGUAGAAUUUUAAGGUUGCUGAUAAUUUUUUAAUCUUGUUAGUAAAAAAUUGUCACCACUAACUUACUUAUCAUAUCACUCGUUAGUAAGUUAUCAUGUUAUCAAAAUUUAAUGUCCAUACGAAUUAAUAAAUUAUCAACUUGUCUAACAAGUUGAUGUUGGCUUUUUAAUCAGGAUAUAUAUGCAUUUCUAUCGAUACUAAAAUUUCAAUUAUCAAUUUGAAUAGUGAUGAAUAGAGUAAUACAAUUAUCUAUAGUAAAAUAUUAGUUUUUUUUUUUUUGAUCGAAAGAUACGGACAUUUCAUUCAUAUAUGAGCAAAGGUACAUCCCUUAAACAAGGCAUCAAUACAGAGUAAGUCCAACAUAAGCUGUGGAGGAGAAGAAGCCCAGUUGUGUGGCAGGUUUCCUCGGCCAUGGGCCUUCGCGGCCCAGUCAGCUAGGGCAUUUGCUUCCCUUCGGCAGUGCAGCACGCUCAGAUUGGAGAACAGCGUCUUCAAGGCUACACACUCAGCCAACAAAGCUCGACAAUCCCAGGGUGGUUCACGGCAUCCGUUGAUGGCCUCAACUAGGAUGAGAUUAUCCGACUCAAUGAUGAGGUAGUCUUCCAUCUGUUCUUUCUGUAAUAGCUCCCGAAGAGUGUAUAACAGAGCUAGGGUCUCUGUUUCAAAGGCAGAUCGAGCCCUAACAGUGCUGACGAAUCCUCCAAACAACUUGCCAGAAGAGUCCCGAGCAAUACUAGCUAUCGCGCCUUCAUGGUGUCCACUGGGAAAGGCCCCGUCGAGAUUGAUCUUUAUUAUCCCCUGUUGCGGAGGUUCCCAAUUCCGAUUAGGGUUCAACCAUGUCUUCUGGGUAGGUUUUUCAAGCUGUGGAAUUCGACUGCCUACCUGAGCCAUAUUAAUUGAUGCUUGAACCAGAUGAUCCGGGUGUGGUCGCUGAUUCCGAAAAACAAAGAGGUUCCGGGCUUUCCAUAUAUGCCAAAGCAAAGCCGCGAUCUGCUCAAACACAGGUACGCCUCUCGUCUGAACCUUCUUCUGGUUGAUAUGCGUAUGAAGCCAUGUAUCGAUGCGAUGUAUGCUAUGGUGUGAAACUUUAAUUUGGACGCUGUGGUGAUUCCAUAUGUAUUUUGUCCAUGGACAUAGAAGGAAUAGAUGUUCCGGGGUUUCGGGUAUUGUGGAUGAGCAGAGUUUACAAAAAAGGGUCUGGGACAAUCUUCCUGCGAUAUAAAUUCUCUGCUGUAGGUAGAGCAUUCUGGCACACAGCCCAUAGAAAUACACAAACCUUUGGAGCUAUCUGAGUUUGCCAAAUUUGUCUCCAUAAUGUAGUAGGGGGCUGAUAGGAGGAUGAAGGCUGAGACUGAAACUUGUGAGAUGCUACGUGUUUAAUGAAAUGAUAACCGCUCUUAACAGAAUAACAACCAUCUGAAGUGUCUGUCCACACAAGUUUGUCCUCAGAGGAGGCUGGCGAGAGAGGAAUAGAUAGUAUUUCGUCAACAAUAUGGUCCUGAUAAAAUUGACGCAGUAGAACCUCAUUCCACUCAUGCUGAUUAGGCAGAAUAAGGUCCUGCACUCUAUUCGGUUCUGUCCUGUUGUAUGGUCCACCUAGAACUCCCACUUUCAGCCACUUGUCUUCUCUGAUUUUAAUCUGGGUACCAUUCCCUACUGACCAUUGGAGCUUGUCAGUGAUAGAAUCCCUACCUAGAAUAAGACUUUGCCAGCCCCAAGAAGACCUCGUCCCCUUCUUUGCAGACCAGAAACUCGUGUGAGGGAAGUAUAAUGCUUUGAAAACAGUGCUCCACAAAGAGGAAGGAUUAAGAAAAAGUCUCCAUGCUUGCUUACCCAAUAGAGCUUUGUUAAAGGAGAUUAAGUCACGAAAACCUAAACCUCCUUGAUCUUUACUCUUUUUAAGAGUUUCCCAGUUUUUCCAAUGAACGCCUGAUUUGUUGCGACUGUUUUUCCACCAGAACCUUGCUAUUUGUUGUUCCACCGCCUUACAUAUGGAUACAGGAAGCUUAAAAAUCGUCAUAGCAUACUGUGGUAGGGCCUGAAUCACCGAUUUCAAUAGAACCUCCUUCCCUCCCUUAGAGAUUAGGUUUUCCUUCCACCCCUCCAGCUUAGUAUUAACUCUACUUAAGAUCCAUGAAAACAUAUCACGUUUAGAAGAGCCCCAAUCAGAAGGAAUGCCUAAAUAUUUCCCUGUUCUAUCCAAGAUUGGAACUCUAAAAUCAUGAGCCAAAUUAAGUCGAAGGGAAUAGGGGCAGUUUUUACUCAUAAACAAGCCUGAUUUGUUUCUGUUUAUCUCUUGACCAGUAGCUAGGCAAUACUGAUUGAGAAUGUUGGAUAAGUUUUGGCUCUCCCGUAGUCGACCAUCAAUGAACAGGAUGGCGUCAUCAGCAAAGAAUAAAUGUGAUAACGUAGGACACCAUCGGUUGAGUUUAAUGCCUCGUAAAUUACCCAUAGCAACAGCAUUCUGGAUAAGAGUAGAGAGUAAAUUUGUGACGAGAAUGAAUAAAUAGGGGGAGAGAGGGUCACCUUGCCUUAAACCUCGGGAUGGGCGAAAAUAAUGGAGAGAUUCCCCAUUCAGUUUUACACUAAAAGAAGUUGUUGAAACACACUGCAGCAUCCAUUUCACCCAUUGAGCAUGAAAUCCAAGUCUAGACAGGUAAUCUUGUAAGAAAUCCCACUCCACCCUAUCGUAGGCUUUCUUCAUAUCCAGCUUGAGAAUUCCCUGAAAUUUUUUCUUUCUGUCUCUAGAUUUCAGCUGGUGUAUAACCUCUUGAACUAUAAGAAUAUUGUCCUGAAUUUGUCUACCGGAGACAAACGCACUUUGUUCUUUAGAAAUCAACACCGGCAGCCAGGUCUUUAGAUGGUUAGCCAAAACUUUUGAUAUGAUCUUGUAGAUAAAAUUGCAUAAACUGAUGGGGCGAAACUGUUCUAACCUCUCGGGAUUCUGGAUUUUCGGAAUAAGGACUAAAGUUCGAUUGAUUUCCGAUGGCAUGUUUGCUGUAGCAAAAAAUUGUUGAACAGUUGAGAAGACCUCUUCCUUUAUAAUGUCCCAAUGAUGACGGUAGAAUAAUCCAUUUAACCCAUCCGGUCCUGGCGCUCUAGUUGCAGUUAGUUGAAAAGUAGCUCGUUUGACUUCCUCCCUCGUUACUUCUGCGGUUAGAUGUGUAUUCAUUUCUGCUGUUACUAUUGGAAAGCAUUGCAUUAAAAUAGGGCCAUAAUCCCUUUGACCUGCAGAAGUGUACAAUUGCUGGAAAAAGUUGAGUGUCUCGUGCUUCACUCGAUGUGGAUCGCGAAUCCAUUCCCCGUUCUCAUUCUGUAAAAUGCUGAUUUUAUUCCUUUGGCGCCUUUGUAUUGUAGUAGCAUGGAAGAAUUUCGUAUUACGAUCACCCCAGCACAUCCAGUUAAUGCGAGAACGCAUGGCCCAAUAUUGUUCUUCUUGUGCCCAUUUUUGUUGAAUUUGACAUCGCAAGGAAGUGACCAGAUCUUUGUCAUAAUUACAUGCAGGCUCGUUAAUACAGUGCUGAAGUUGCUGUUGCAAAAGAUAUAAUUGUUGCUGAGCUGCGUUAAACUUGUUCCUGCUCCAGCUGGCCAGUGCCGUAGUGGUGUUCCUAAUCCGCUUCGAAAUUUGGAGCUGCUCGGUUGAAUGAGGAGACCAAGAUUUGUAUAUCACCUCUCGGCAUUCUGCAUCUUGAAGCCAAAAGGCUUCGAAGGUAAAGCACUUUUUCCUCUUGACUGGCAUUGCAUUAGUGGUUAAUAAAAUCGGGCUGUGGUCGGAACCUAUGGCUGGAAGGGCAAGAACCUCUGCCUCUGCAUAUUUUAAUCGCCAUUCGAUUGUACAUAAUGCACGAUCGAGUCUUUCCUUGACCAUUUCCUCGCCAUUUCUGUUAUUAAUCCAGGUGUAGGCACAUCCUUUUGUCUCUAGGUCCAGCAAUGCACAGUCAUAAAGAAAUUCCCGAAAGGCAUGCAUUCGGUAAGGUUGAACUGGUCUCUUGCCUACCUUCUCCCAUGGAUGUAAAAUAUCAUUAAAGUCCCCUAUGCAAACCCAAGGUAAAGUGUGCAAGGUACCGAGACGCCUUAAAUCUGCCCAAAACAGUUGUCGGUGUUGAAAGACCGACGGCGCAUGUAAACAGGUAAGACCCAUAGGAAAGUCACUACCAAUUUCAGUACAUAUAGUAUCUAUAUAGUGCGCAGUAAAGCUAUUAAUAUGAAGAGAGAUCUGAUUCGUCCAAAAAAUAACCAUUCCUCCAGCCAAACCUAUAGGAUUAACAACAAAAUUGUUAGAGAACUUAAUUUUGCCUUGGACACGCUGGAUAAGAAAUUCUUGAUUGCGAGUUUCCAUCAAAAACAGAACAUCGGGCCGUUCUCGGGCCACUAAGGCCCUAAGUGCUUGAACUGUCAAGGAAUUGCCCAAUCCUUGACAGUUCCAACUCAUGAUCUUCAUUUAUCCUUGGGUGGCUUAUGGGGGCAAGCCACCUCAGCCCAAUCUCUAAAGUUUUCAGCCAUUAAGAUGGGAGUUUCCAGUAGUUGACACUCUUCAAAAACUUCCGGAAGAACAGGACGAGAUCCAUAUGGAGAAUACCGCUUGACUUUCUUGACUGGAGAGGUCUUAGUCGGCAACAGAGGUUUUUUAACUUUUUUGGAGUUGGUAACUGACUGUAUAACUUCUGUUACAGCAUUGGAACAUGUCAGACCUGGACCUUCAGGGGGAAACGAAGUGGAUUCAAGAGCUGGCUGCCCAGUGACAGGGAUGGGAUAUGUUGGCUGCAGAGAUGUGGUGGGAAAAGGGAGAUGAUGAGCCUUCUGAGGGUCUGUUACUACUUGCUUAUUUGUGGAAACUGAUGGACCAGGAGGGAGCAAUAGCAAACCUUGUGGAGGAGUUUCAGGUACCGAUUCCUCUCCAUCUUCCAUAAAAGGUUUUGUUUCAUAGAAAACCUGCCAGAAAGGGCUAGGGUCCCUAGCUUCAGCCCUGAGCCAUUGGCCAUAAUACAUCGUGUCACGCUUAUCAAAAGUUGACUCUUCAUAAGGGAUAUCUUUGCAAUAGGAAGCAUAAUGACCAAGUACGCCACAAGAAUAACAGAAGGUCGGUAAUCUUUCAUAUCGAAAGUCUAACCAGAUUGAUUUUCCUUCCACUCUAAUAAGCUUUCCCGGUUUUAGAGGCUUCUGAAUAUCCAGAUCCACCCGAGCUCUUCCUAUUUUAAGACUGGAGCCAUCUUUCGCCUCAAUUUUAACAGCCAGAACAGGUCCAAGAUCACUGACUGCCUUACUUAUCAACUGCUCUGUACAUCGUUCUAACGGUAAGCCAACUAUUUGGACCCAGAAUGCAUAUGUGGUGAAAUCAUAGCAAUGCAAGGGAGUGUUAGGGAUCCACUGUUUGAGAAUAAUAAGAUUAUUUGAGAAAGACCAUGGCCCACUGUCUAAAAUACGCUGCUUUGUCCCUUCAGAGGGAAAUUUAAAGACAUAAAGACCUGCUUCUCUUUGUGAAAUAUCAACAUUAUCUACACGCCAUACCUUCUUCAUCGUACUCUGAAAAGCGGGGAAGUUUAUAGGAGAAUUUGCAAGAAUUUUCCCUACAAGUGUUAACUUACAUUCCUCAAUUUUCUCUGCAGGAGGGGGUUCAUUCCAGACCUCAAUAUGCUGAGGAGACCACAGUCGACCCAGGCGAGUACAUAAAGCAUUAAGUCGAGCUUCCUCUUCCUUGCUACCAGUAUCCAUAAAGAGUAGAAUUGGCAAAAGAUGGACCAGAGUGUAUAAAGGCUAAAAAAGCACAUGCAGAAUACCAGUCCGAUAGAAAUUGGGUUGUGGAUUAGACAUGCAGAUGAAUCGGUCGACCCAACCUCCAGAUUAGAGAAGAGAAGACCAAAUUCGACCGAACAGAGUAUGAAAAAGAGCGAUGGAAUGGGUGGAAACAGAAGUAAGAGGAAGAUAGAUGAAACAGAGAAGAAAGGGAGCCGGUACUUCAAAAUAGGGGGGUGCGACUCCGGAAACGAAAUCCAUAAAAGGAAGACGUGGGAGAUUCCGUUGAAAACGCCAUGCGAGAAAGAAAGCUUGAUGUGGGAAUUCUGAAAACUGGGAUUAGGGUUAAGAAGGGAAGAUGAACACAGAAACUACCAAGAGGUAGAGGGCGACUCUACAAAACGAGAGAGAAACCCGUCCAUUAGUUUAUUACGCGCAUGUUGCAUGGGGUGAUGGACUUUUUGGCCCUCAGCUCACUGUCAAGACAAAUAAUUUUGUGAAAAAUCCAAAUGAGGGUUUUCCAAAUUGGUGUUGUUUUUUGCCACAGUAGCUUCUGGCGGCUCUUACAGAUGCAGAUUCUCUGUGUCCCAUUUGCUUUAAAGCUCAUUCACUUGUGUGUUUUAUUUCAGUGCGGAAAAUGGAAGAGCACAUCUUUCUGAAUUGUCAAUGAAGAUGGAAUUUGUCAAAAUUAAAGUAAUCUUCUCGUGUAGGGUCUUGAGUAUUGAUAAUUAACUUUGUGAUUCAAGCAUUAAAGCAGUCAGCACGCAGUGGGUCAUUGCCUACCCUUGGACCUCGACGUCCAUCCAAUGUAUUAUUUGGCCACAUUCUUCGACAGAAAUCUACCUUUAUCUUCAACAAAAAUAAACUAGUUAGAGUAUGAUAAUUAAAGGAGAAUCAGACUUGAAUAUUUGGUUUUCAAUAUUUUCUUUCGGACGCACUUGAGUUUUUAUUUUUUUUAGAUCAGAAAUUCGCACUUGAAUUCACCUCCUCAUUUUUGGCCAUUUCUCUCCCUUUUUCGUUAAUUUUUUUCCCCUCAAUUCUUCUCCUUAAUUUUCUCCCCUUUUGCCUUUUUCUAACCCAUGACCAAGCAGUUAACUUUCAAGAAAUAUAUUUCUAAGUUACAUAUGUUGACUUCCUCAUACUUUUUAGACAAAAAGAACAAAAAAAAAAAAAAAAGCUUCGUCAUACUUCAAAAUUUUUAAAUAAAUGAAAAUAUUUCCCUUUGUCAAUAAUAAUUUAUAUUUAAAUAUUUUCUAUUUAUUUAUUUCUAUAAGCGUUACAAUUUGAAAAUCGUUUGUUUUUUGCGAAAUAAAUAGUACUUCGUCAAAAUUUAUAAUUAGUACUUAACAAAAGAUUCAAUAGGAUAAGAGUAGAACCGCGACUGAGAUGUGGAAAUGACAAAUAAUUUCACUCACCCAACGGUCGUUGUUGCUCUGUUUACAUCCGCCGGUUCUUGGAACCAUUUUUAACUGGAGAAGUUCCACGCACAGACGGAACACCCACUUCUCCCAUAGUCAACCGGGCCACCGCGUCGCAUCGUCAGGAGUCUGUCCGAGGAAAUUUCCCGAGCAUUCGUGAGUCUCCUUUCCAGCUACAAGUGUCGAACGAAGGUCCUCACGGCGGUUCGACCUCAGCGUCAUCAGCUCCGGUGACAGGAAACAACUUUAAUGUGUUCCUGAGCUUCAGAGGAAUUGACACCCGAGAUGGAAUCACAGAUGUUCUCUACGAGGGCCUCCGAAAUGCCGGGGUUCGCACCUUCAGAGACAAAGAAGAGCUUUCUGAGGGAGAGUCCCUCACAAAGCAGCUUCCUCAGGCAAUCAAGCUGUCGAAGAUCGGCAUUCCCAUCCUGUCCAACAGCUAUGCCUCGAGUAAAUGGUGCCUACGAGAGCUGGCUCAGAUGGUCGAGCAGCUCGAUGAUGGAAUGAUCAUCAUCCCCGUAUUCUUCGAGAUCCUGGUGGAUCAUGUGAAAAUGAAGGAUGGGAAGGGUCCUUACGCCGAUGACGUUAGGGCACACAGGAAGAAAGGAGUUGACGAGGAUAGGAUUGGGAAAUGGGAGAGUGCCCUUAAAAAAGUGACGUCUUUGAAAGGCGCAUGCUAAUAGUGGUAAGGUUUAAGGAUCUGUAGCUAGUGCUGCUUUGUUCUCUUUUCUUUUCUUCUCUUGUUUUCUCCGUAUUCAAAAGUAAGGGUCUGUUAGGGGUUGCGAUGGGCAUAGCCCAAGGUCAAUCUGAGUUUUUCUUAUGGGGGUUGGCUAAUGGUAACUCUGAAUUGAAUGGGAGACGCUCUUGCAUUGGUACCAAGCCUUUAACCAUUCCGUCCCAUUCACGUUUUCAUCAUUUUCAGAUCUUUGACCACAGUUUACGAGUGUCCCUGACUCCGUGUUCUUUCCUUCUUUCUGAAACAUUUUUCUGUUUUCUAGGCAAGGACAAUUUGCAAAUAUGAUGGUCUUAAAAGUUCUGAAGAGAUUGAGAAAGGCGAAGCUCAAUUUGUCUGACGAAUUAGUCGGGAUUGAGGACCGCCUGACUAAGCUGAGAAGAAUGUUGGAUACUGACUGCAGUGACGUGCAGAUGAUUGUCAUCUCCGGCAUUCCAGGCAUUGGUAAGACAACCCUCGCAAAGUGUCUCUACAAUGAUAUCUGCCACCUCUUUCGUCGUUGCAGUUUUCUUGGCAAUAUUGAAGAAACUAUUGCAAAGAAGGAUCUUGUAACUUUGCAAAAUCAGUUGGUUUCUGACAUCAUCCGAAGGGACUUGGCAAACUUAAACUCAGAGGAGGAAGGAGUUAGCUUCCUCAAAAAUAGAUUCAACACACUGAAAGUCCUCAUUCUUUUGGAUGACGUGCAUGAGCAGAGAUCGCUUGGAGCAUUGAUUGGAGAUCUCGAUUAGUUCGGUUUAGGGAGUAGGAUCAUUAUCACAACCAAACGCAUAGAAGUUCUCAGUUUACCUGCAGGAACCAAAACUUAUGAUGUCACACCGAUGGAGGAUGGUGAUGCUCUAAAACUUUUCUGUAGACGCACCUUUGCUAAGGAUUGUCCAGAAUAUGACUAUAUUGAUCUCUCUGAAAGAAUUGUGACCACUACUGGAAGACUUCCAUUAGCUCUUGAGCUCGUAGGUUCACAGUUGUCUCUGUUUCGGGAUAACAACGUUUUCUGCGAAGCUCUACUAAAAAAGUUAGAGGAGCUACCUCAUGAUGAUGUCCAGAAAAAGUUGAAUGUAACUUAUGAACGGUUAAGCCCUAGACAACAGCAUAUUUUUCUCGACAUAGCUUGUUUUCUUAAUGGAGUGGAUGAAAGAAUCGCAUCUUACAUGUGGGACAAGCUUGACUUGCAUCCUAAAGUCGAAAUCAAUAUGCUUGGUCUUAUGUCCAUCGUAAAGAUUGGAGAUGACAAUAGGAUGUGGAUGCACGAUCAGCUUAGGAAGCUUGGCAGGCAAAUUGCUCAAGACGAUCUUGAGAAACAGAGGAACCACAUUAGACUAUGGAAACCCCCUCAAGCUAGGAAAAUUAUUGAAGAAGAUGAGGUAAGAUCUGGCAUUGCCUUUUUAGUCUGCCUAUUUGAUAAUUAACUCUCCUUGUUUGAUUGCCUUUGGGAAGAGUGAAAGAUCAGAUGAUCCUCAGCUCACUUCUUUAUUGGGGUCCACAUUAGCUUCUGUCUAACAAUGGUGAUUGACCAACAGACCCAAAUGAAGGUCGAAGCUCUGUGUCUUGACAUGGAUACUCAGUCCUUCACUGAACAAAAACACAUGGAUGAUCGAUCACAGAAGUGUUGGACUCCUGACCAUUUUAGACAAGUACCAAAUCUCAGGUUCCUAAGUAUGAAUCACUCUGAUAUUCAGAACAAUUUUGAUGGCCUUCUUUCAAAGUUACUUUGGCUCCGAUGGCAUGGUUGUCCAAGAGCUUUUAAGGCAAUCAAUUUGCAUAUGAAGAAUUUGGCUGUUCUCGAUUUAUCAUGGAGCAAGGUAAUCGAAGGUUGGAAGGGUUGGAAUCAUAUAGAGGUAGCUCAAAUACUUGGCAUUUACCCUUUCCCUUGAAUACUUACUGCAAAAUUAACAGUUUUUUGUCUACUUGCAUUCUUUGCAGCUGUCAAGGAAGUUGAAGGUUUUAAUUCUUAGAGGUUGUGUUGACUUGAUACAAACUCCAAACUUCUCUAAUUUCGAGGCUUUGGAGAUACUGGUUUUAGAAUACUGCUCUCAUUUGGUUCAAAUUGACCCAUCGAUUGGUCAGUUGCAAUAUUUGCAAAUUUUAGAUCUGAAAUUCUGCACUGACCUCAGUAACUUGCCCAGUGAACUUGAUUCUCUGGAAGCUUUGAGAGAAUUCCAUCUCGAUGGAACUUCUAUAGAAGAUAUUCCGGUCUCCAAAGAUAUGAAGCUUCUUAAGACUCUCAGCGCCUGCAACUGUAAAUCAUUGUCACAAGUGUCUAGUGAAAUUGGUGAUGUAAAAUCUCUUGUAUUUCUUUCAAUAGAUGGAUCUGAACUUCCUGCUCUCCCAGAUUCAGUUGAAAGGCUAGAAAAGUUAAAACAACUGUCUAUGAGGGAUUGUCAGCUGAUGUGGAAACUUCCAGACACCAUUGGAAGAUUGACAUCAUUAGAGAAUCUGGAUCUCUCAAGUACAGGAAUAGAUGAAUUACCACAUGCCAUUGGUAAUAUGCAAAAAUUGAAGGUGCUCAAAAUGGAUGGAAGCUUCAUUAGAGAGUUCCCUUGCUCUAUUGGAAUGCUGGAAAAACUUGAGGAGAUUCAUGCGUCAUGAUGUAGGAGUUUGGAAAAAAUUCCAGAGGAGAUCAAAGGUUUGUCUCGUUUGAGAAAUUUGGUGUUGUCAGAUUCCAAUAUUCCCACCCUACCAGGGAGCAUCUCUAGUCUUUCCCACCUUCAAAACCUUGAUUUAUAUGGCUGUGACAGUCUUCAUGAGGUUCCUCUGCUUCCCACUAGUUUAGCCACUUUGCGUCUCACUUAUGACUCUAGUAAAUUGAAGUCUUUGGAUAUUUCAAAUCUGACCAAUCUCAAAGAGUUGUACCUUGCCAAUAAUUUGGAGGAGGAGGCAUCUCCCAGCACAGACGGAUAUUUGAUGGUGGAGCCGAUCAGCCUUUCGGGGAUUGGCAAAGUGACAAAAGUUGAGACCUUGAAAUUGUGUCUCCCAGGCUUCACUAAACUACCGGAAAUGGAUGCUCUCAAGCAGCUAAGGAAGCUUGAUCUUCAAUGUCCAGACCUACAACAUCUCCCACGACUACCCAAAAGUUUGAAAAAACUAACCCUCCGGGACUGCAAAUCCUUAAAGACAUU